RNAcentral lists this long non-coding RNA (69865 nucleotides) under Setaria viridis. Its description in RNAcentral is "long non-coding RNA (SVIR_LNC006068)". Lineage: Eukaryota; Viridiplantae; Streptophyta; Magnoliopsida; Poales; Poaceae. The record is from RNAcentral.
CUGUUAUCUGGAUGGGAAAGAAACAAGAGUCUGUUGAGGAUGUUCCUUGUGGUAACACUGUUGCUAUGGUUGGUCUGGAUCAGUUCAUCACGAAGAAUGCUACACUCACCAAUGAGAAGGAGGUUGAUGCAUGCCCAAUCAGAGCAAUGAAGUUCUCUGUCUCCCCUGUUGUGCGCGUUGCUGUUCAGUGCAAGGUUGCCUCUGACCUACCCAAGCUCGUUGAAGGUUUGAAGCGUCUGGCAAAGUCUGAUCCUAUGGUCCUCUGUACAAUUGAAGAAUCUGGUGAGCAUAUUAUUGCUGGAGCUGGUGAGCUUCACCUUGAGAUUUGCCUGAAGGAUCUGCAGGAAGACUUCAUGGGUGGUGCUGAAAUUAUUGUUUCUCCUCCUGUUGUCUCUUUCCGUGAAACUGUUCUUGAGAAAUCCUGCCGAACAGUCAUGAGCAAGUCCCCCAACAAGCACAACCGUCUUUACAUGGAAGCCCGUCCCUUGGAAGAGGGUCUCCCUGAGGCUAUUGAUGAGGGCCGCAUUGGUCCACGUGAUGAUCCCAAGGUUCGCUCCAAGAUCCUCUCUGAGGAGUUUGGUUGGGACAAGGAUCUUGCCAAGAAGAUUUGGUGCUUUGGACCUGAGACCACUGGCCCGAACAUGGUUGUUGAUAUGUGUAAGGGAGUGCAGUACCUCAAUGAAAUCAAGGAUUCUGUUGUGGCUGGCUUCCAGUGGGCCUCAAAGGAGGGUGCACUGGCUGAGGAGAACAUGCGUGGCAUCUGCUUUGAGGUCUGUGAUGUUGUUCUUCAUGCUGAUGCAAUUCACAGGGGUGGUGGCCAGGUCAUUCCAACUGCCAGGAGGGUUAUUUAUGCUUCUCAGCUCACUGCCAAGCCAAGGCUGCUCGAGCCAGUUUACCUUGUGGAGAUCCAGGCCCCAGAAAAUGCACUUGGUGGUAUCUAUGGUGUUCUGAACCAGAAGAGAGGGCACGUGUUUGAGGAGAUGCAGAGGCCUGGUACCCCGCUCUACAACAUCAAGGCUUACCUCCCUGUCAUCGAGUCCUUUGGGUUCUCCAGCCAACUGAGGGCUGCAACCUCUGGCCAGGCGUUCCCUCAGUGUGUGUUUGACCACUGGGACAUGAUGGGCUCUGAUCCUCUGGAGGCCGGCUCCCAGGCUGCUCAGCUGGUGUUGGAUAUCCGCAAGAGGAAGGGUCUCAAGGAGCAGAUGACCCCUCUUUCUGAGUUUGAGGACAAGCUCUAAAUUUUGGUGGUUUGUGCUGCUGUUACCCAUGCUGGUUUCAUGGCCAAUUCGUCUACUGUAACUGGAACUACUUUCAUGUUUCAUUUCCUUUAGUUGUCAGAUGCAUCUGUUUUUGAACAUCAUUGGCCAUAUGGCAUUGUGCUGCUAAGACUGUAUUUUGUUAUCCGGUUGUGAUGUAACAGAUGAAAUAGAGUUCAUAUCUGUGGUUUAAGUGGUAGUAUUUGCGGUAUAAUGCUUGUUUCUACUGCCUUCUGAAAGCCUUUCUUUUGCCUAACGGUAGAGCGGAUUAACUAAGGGUGUUGUAUCAUUUGAUUCAUUUGAUCCUUCAUCAAGGAUGAAGCCAUCUCCUCAUGGGAACACAUUAUUCUACUAUUAGAAGCGAAGAUGUAACAAAUUAGUUGAAAGAGGAGCGUUGAAAGAGGAGCGAACCAUACUUUACUAUAUGGUAAGUAGCAAAUUAGUUACAAGUAGCAAAUUAGUUGAACUUUAGGAUCAUGCACGUUGAACCUUGUUAUCUAGGAUCAUCCAUGGAUCAUGCACGUUGAACCUUGCUAACUAGGAUCAUGCACGUUGACCCUUGUUAUCUAGGAUCAUCCAUGGAUCAUACACGUUGAACUUUGCUAUCUAGGAUUAUCCAUGUAUGCAUCAUGUAGUGCAUCUGUGCAUGCAAUAUUCUGUUAUCUAGGAUCAUCCAUGGAUCAUACACGUUGAACUUUGCUAUCUAGGAUUAUCCAUGUAUACAUCAUGUAGUGCAUCUGUGCAUGCAAUAUUCUGCCCUUAGCUUGGUUUUACUGCCGAUAGCUAUAUAGUGCAUUUAAAUGCUUUUCUUUUGCCCACAGCCCCAGAGGUAGAGAGGACUAACUGUUUCUGUUGCUUUUUUUUUUUACGGUCUACGGGAGAGAGUGUGUGUGUGUGUUGGGGGUGGGAGCGCCCCCACCUGAUUUUCAUUUCAUUGAGGGUCUGUUUCAGGCCAAACGCUGUGUAGAUCAAAAGGAGAUAGAGAGAGGCAGUGUACAUCUGGUUUUGUGAUUGUUUUACAUCGAAGCAAAGACAGUGCACCAGGAGUCGGUUAUCACGCGAUCCUCUAUGCGAAACCGCUCGCGCCAAAGUCGGGCUUCGUCUCGGCAUGCCGACCAGAAGCGUUGUUGAGAUGGAGCGCAGCGCUGGAACACUGGGUCAUUCCGGUGCUUCCAUAACACCCACGGCAGAAGGAGUUUUUUCUUGCUUUGCCUUUAGCUUGGCUUUAAUCCUGUUAGCUAUGCCUAUGUAGAGCAUUUGGUCCUUCGAAUUUUAAAUCGAUGUUGAUUUUGAUUGCAUGCCGUCAUUUUGGGUUGGUUCCAACUAUGUUUUUAAUAUCAGUCGUUCUGAAGGUUACUCUGUUGACACUUGAUUGCAUAACCGUUUGCUAGUUUUGCGUGCAUCCGCGUGCUGGUUCGUCUCAUCAAGAACUAGCCGUUGCUCAAAACUCUGGCUUUCAGGCAUGGCCGCAACAGCCUGGAGGAUGUGUUGCUGUUCUGUAGCUGUAGUGUGCGUCUGUGCUAGUGGAUGCAGGGAGCCAGCGACCUAAAAGGAAUCGUGUAUUAGUGGAUGCAGGACAUCGGCCGUGGCGGCCUGGGGGAGACGACCACGCUCGACAUGAACGGCAGUAAGUUCAAUGGCACGAUCCCGGCGUCGCUUACCGGCCUAUGGAGCCUCCAGUAUCUAGAUGUGAGCGGCAACCGCUUCACCGGCACCAUCCCAGCGUUGCUAUCUGGACUCCGGAACCUCCAGCUUCUCGGCCUGAAUGACAACCUCUUCACCGGCACCAUCCCGGCGGACCUCGGCGAGCUGGCGAGCCUUCACAUGCUGUAUCUGGCAAACAACCAGUUCGAUGCAGGCCAGCUGCCGUCGUCGUUCAAGAACCUGACCAACCUGGUCAGCCUCUGGGCGUCGCAGUGCAACCUCGUCGGAGAGUUCCCGAACUUUCUUUGGAGCCUGAAGGAGCUGCAACUAUUGAAUCUGUACACGAACAACCUCACCGGCAACUUGGUGGUUGAUGGCCUUGUUGCGAGGAACUUGACAGUAAUCGACGUCUCGGAGAACAAGAUCACUGGAGUUAUCCCGAGUGUUUGGGAGCUUGGAGAACCUCAGAGACUUGAACUUCUUCAUGAACAACUUCUCCAGCGAGAUACCAGCCAGCAUCGGCCGGUUGCCCUCACUGACGAGGUUGAGGCUCCACACCAACAUGCUUAACGGCACGCUCCCACCGGAGCUCGGAAAGCAAUCGCCGGGCUUGAAUUAUGUUGAGGUUGAUUACAAUGAGCUCACCGCCGAGAUCCCGGAAGGGCUGUGCACUGGAGACAACCUCCAGCACCUCACCGCCAAGAGCAACCAAUUGAACGGCUCCAUCCCAGCAGGCCUUGCCAACUGCGCCACUCUUGGAACCCUGUCGCUGGACAACAACCAACUCUCUGGCGACGUACCAGAGGCUCUGUGGACGGCGACGAAGCUUUACCAGAGGCUCUUCCGGCCACGGUGCAUCUCAACCUUUCGACGAUACUCAUAGGGAACAACCAAUUUGGUGGCAACAUUCCGGCUGCACUAGCUGCGCUCCAGGUGUUCACCGCCGAGAACAACCGGUUUUCUGGUGCGAUACCGGCGAGUCUUGGCGACGGCAUGCCGCUGCUGCAAAGACUGAACUUAUCCGGUAACCAACUGUCCGACGGGAUCCCCAGAAGCGUUGCUAAGCUAAGCCAGCUGACGGAAAUGGACCUGAGCAGGAAUCAGCUCACCGGAGGCAUACCGGUAGAGCUCGGCGCCAUGCCGGUGUUAAGUGUCCUUAACCUGUCGUCGAACAAGCUCUCCGGCAACGUGCCGCAGGCGCUUGCGAAGCCGACACUCACCGCCCUAACCUGUCCUCGAACCAUCAGACCGGCCAGGUCCCGGCCGGGUUCGCCACCGCGGUCUACGACACCAGCUUCCUCAACAACCCCGGCCUCUGCACCGCCGCUUGGGGACCUGGCUACCUCACGGGCGUACGCUCCUGCGCCGGUGGAUCACAAGACGGCGGUUCCUCCGGAGGCGUGUCGCACGCCCUGCGCAGGGGAACCUCGCCGUGGCGUUCGCCUUCUUCGUCGUCCGCGACAUCAAGAAACGGCGGCGCGUCGCGGAGCAAGACAACUGGAAGAUCACGCCUUUCGUCAAAGAUCUGGGAUUCGGUGAGGCACCCAUACUCCGGGGGCUGACGGAGGAGAACCUCGUCGGGCGCGGGGGAUCGGGGCGCGUGUACCGCGUCGCCUACACCAACCGGCUUAACGGCCGAGCCGGCGCGGUGGCCGUAAAGCAAAUACGGACCGCCGGGAAGCUCGACCAGAAGCUGGAACGCGAAUUCGCGUCAGAGGCUGGCAUCAUCGGCAACCUCCGGCACAACAACAUCGUCAAGCUCUUGUGUUGCCGCUCCAGCGCCGAGUCCAAGCUCCUCGUGUACGACUAUGGACAACGGCAUCCUGGACAGGUGGCUCCACGGCGACGCCCUCGUCGCCGGCGGGCGCCCCAUGGCGAGGGCGCGGUCCGCGCGGCGCGAGCCGCUGGACUGGCCGGCGAGGCUCAGGGUGGCCGUCGACGCCGCGCAGGGGCUGUGCUACAUGCACCACGAGUACGAGCCGCCCAUCGUCCACCGCGACGUCAAGACGAGCAACAUCCUGCUGGACUCGGAGUUCCGGGCCAAGAUCGCCGACUUCGGGCUGGCCACAGGAUGCUGCUGCAGGCCGGGGCGCCGGAAACGAUGUCCGCCGUCGCUGGCUCGUUCGGCUACAUGGCUCCUGGUAAGGAUUCGAACUUGCUGCUUUCAGUGAAUUUCUGUCCCAUUUCUACAAAUGCCACGUGUUCUCGUGUUGCCGGACCUUAGAUUGGGCCUUUUGAUGCUUAUCUGCAGAGUGUGCUUACACCAAGAAGGUGAACGAGAAGGUAGACAGCUUCGGUGUCAUUCUCCUGGAGCUCACCACCGGAAAGGAGGCCAACAACGGCGGCGAGCACGGCUGCCUGGCGGACUGGGCACGGCGCCACUACCAAUCAGGAGGGAGCAUCGCCGACGCCACAGACAAGAGCAUCAGAUACGACGGGUACUCUGACGAGAUCCAGGUUGUCUUCAGGCUCGGCGUGCUCUGCACCGCCGAUAUGCCGUCGUCGCGGCCAACCAUGAACGACGUGCUGCAGAUCUUGGUCAAGUGCAGCGAGCAGACGUACCACAAGGGCAAGACGGAGCGUGGCCCAGAGUAUGAGGUGGCUCUUCUACCCAAACGCGGCAGUCGCCGGAAACAGCUUUCAAACGGCUCGGGGAUUUACAUCGAAGAGAAGAUGACAGCAUUGUCUGAAGAAAGGAACUGACCACUGCAUAUGCCAGUAAGCAGCUUGUGACAUCGUCAGUGAACUGCUUGCUAUAGUGAUACUUCACAUUUUAGCAGAGUACAGCGGAGAAUUAUGCCUCUAAUCUUUUUUUUUCUGAGGAGCUAAGUAUCUUUAUAUUAAAAAGAGAAUAUAAAUAGAAAAAAUCAGUCCAUUGGAAGCAACCACUCUAGCUCACCUAGGAGAAUAGAGAGAUUGCAUAAACAAGCGAAGAAAAAACCGUCACCAGACCUUGACCCUGCACGGCUGGACUAGGGACAUGCAUAGUAUAGAGCAGGGCUUGUGGUUAGCCAAACCGUUCUGUGUAUUGAUACUGCAAAUCUGUAUUAAAUCACACACACAUUAUACGUUCCGACAGAAGAACUAGCAAACAUUACGAUUAUACUCCCUCCGUUCUUAAAUAUAUAACGCUAUUGACUUUUUCAUUUGUUUGACUAUUCAUCUUUUCUACAAAUAUUUUUGCAAAUAGAUAAAUCUACGAGUUAAAUCUAAAGUACAUUUCACAAUAGUCAUAAUGAUACACAUUUUACUUUAGUUAACUAACUCAUUCAAUAGAUAUUGAUGGUCAAAGUUGGAGUAAAAAGCCAACAGCAUCAUAUAUUUAAGAAUGGAGGGAGUAAUUUAUUUCUGAAAUAAAGGCAGGAGAUGGAGCUCUGCUUAUCCAUUCAGAAAUUAGUACGAUUGAAUGAUUUUGUCUCCUUCCAGUUUUUAUUGUAAAACACAGAAUAUUACACGGAUAGGCACUGAUUGUUAUCCGGAAGAAAAUGAAUUUUUAUAUUUCAAAAGAAAAGGCCCAAUUUGCACCCUCUAGCUAGCACGAUAAUCCAAUUUUCAGCUAAACUGACCAUGGGCCGGCCCAAAGGCACAGGAAUUUGGCCCGGUCUAGGCAUGGCGGCCGUCGUGCUCGUGCUAACCCGACCCACACCAUGGGCCGUGCUUGGGCCGUUGCCUCAGCCCACGUACUGGUCCGGCACGGCCUGCCCAUUUGGCCCGUCGGGAUUAAGUGGGCGGCCCAUCCUAUUAAGGCCCACUCGACCGCAUAUAAAACCCCCCACCCCCAAACGGCCAAACCCUACCUUCCUCUUCGUGUCCCGCGCCCUUCGCCGCCGUCACCUCCCCCGCGCCCUUCGCCGCCUCUCGCGCCCGCCGGCCGCUCACGCCCUCCGCCGCUUCCCCCCGCCGCCUCCCUCACGCCCUCCGCCGCAUCCUCCCACCGCCUCCCUCGUGCCCUCCGCCACCUCCCGCGCCCGCCGGCCUCUCGCUCCCCUGCCACCUCCCCCGCGGCCCUCUGCCGCCUCCUACACCCGCCGGUCCCUUGCCGCAAUUGGGGAAGAUGGUGGCCUGCACGGCGGCGCGCGCAAACGUCCUGUCGUCCCUCGGCGGUGGGAGCUGCGGCACGAGUGGGCGCCUGGGCAGAUCCGGGAAAGGUCUAUGGGCGCCCUGACGACGAGGUGGUCGAAGUCAUCGGGGCUAUCGAACUCGACGACGACAGGCGCUACGGGCGUAUGAGCAGAGGAAGGGUGAAUUCUGUGCCGCAGGCUGGCACGAGCACGGUGAGGCCGUUAAGGCCUGCCAGGCCAGCGUGCCAGCACGGCCCACCUAAGAAGGCUGCGGGUCAUGCCUGGACCGCUCCUUCGGCACAUGGGCCGGCACGGCCUGGCACUAUUACCGUGCAAGCCUAACCGUGCCGGGCCUAACCGUGCCAGGCCAAAUCGUGCUCGUGCCAGGCCGGGUUGGGCUACCUGUUUGGCCAUCUAUACAUCCAACGGUUGAAACCAGAUAAAUUUUAUCCUUUAGCUGGUUUCAAAGAUGUUUUUUUGUUUUAUUAGACAUUUAAAAAAAAUCUGAUUUAAUCUUGUUGGGGGGAAAUAUUAACGAUCCCCUAAAUACCACUUAAAGGAGCAGACGCGAAGGCCCGGGCCCACCUAAGCAUAAUCAAAACUCCGCCUCGCCCGACCGCGGCCUCAGGGUCAGGAACGCCCGACCCCCCUCCACGAGGUUUCCGCCUCGUCCGACUGCGGCCCCAGGGUCGAAGGCGCCCGAUCCCUCGCCACAAGGUUCCGCCUCGUCCGACCCCAAGCGCAGGGGUCGGGCUCGCUGGGGCCCCCAGGGCAGGCAUCCCCCUCGGAUGUGGACCAGGUGGGCAAGAUAAACAAAUCUUGCGGGUCCCCCCCCCCAUCGGCCUCGUCAUAAAUGCGCUGCGGGCCUGGCAGAGGGAGGAAUGACCACGCUCCUCACACAACCCGCCGCAAGUACCCAUGCACGACCAUACUGUACAAGCUACAGCGCUGGCGGCUCACUCCCAUUCGCCGCAGGGUACUCAUGGCCUGCGCCGACCGGAGCGGAGGAGAGACUCGCCUGUCCUCGAGCCCCGCGCACCCUCGGGUCCCGUGCGCCUGGCAUCUAGGAUGUGACGCCCUCUCUCCAGGAGCCAUCAUCAGAAUGGCAGCAUCCACCGUCCUCCCCAACGGACACCGGGAUAACGACGAAACGCCCUCAUCAUAACCCGACGCCUACGGAUGCCGAAGGAGCUAUCUGUAGGGUGCAACGACAGUUGGCGCACGGCCGCCUCCCCCUCCGGCAUGCACGCCGGCGCUCGCCAGGAGCCGGCGGAGGCGUCGGGCGUCUAGGAACUUGUUCCUCCCAUCCUGCCGUAUUUUUUACCGUACUACGUUCACAUUUUACGGUCCUCUUCGCCCGAUCCCAACUGUAACUCUGGCCACUCCCCUUGCGAUAUAAAAGGAGGAACACAGGGCCGGAGGGGGGGAUCGGCUUCUUCCCCCUCAAGCCACAGCAUGCUAGUACGCUCCCUGAGAACAUAGGCUCAAAGAGACUUGGGACCAGUCCCUCUCUCGUCGGUCUGUAACCCCUACUACAGAACCCCGCGUGGGCAAUACGAGCAUCCACGAUACUGGACGUAGGGCUCCCUUUGCUCGAACCAGUCUAAUCCGUGUCUCCCACGCCACCAUCUGAGGCCUUACGCGCAUAAAAGAAAUUUACUAGUCUAAGUCUUGAUCCGCCAAUCUUGACAACGACAGUUGGCGCGCUAGGUAGGGGACCUUUGCGCAUACCCUCCCAGCCUCAGAUGGCCAAUUACGAUAGUAGCUUUGCUCCGGGCUCCCUGAUCCGAUUCGGGAGCCUGGACUUCCUCGCCACCGGGGAAGGGAUCAAGCUGAUCCCUGUCCUCAUCCUGCCCGCUCGCCCGCCUGCCCCCGGCCCCGCCGCCGGGACAGCGGUGAGCGGCCGCUCGCAUACCGGAAGGACCUCGCCAGGGGGACGGCCCUUCGGGCUACGCAAUGCCACGGGGGCCUACGGACGCCUCCUAGCGCGGUCCAUGACCGCGUCGCCCGCGAGCAACGAGCUCGUAGGUGCGACAAGGACGAUCUCCGACACCGGCUCCAGCAGCGGGAGCCCCCACCCCUCGCGUGAGUGCCUCGUGGUCGACGAGCACUCUGAGGGAUCCAACAGCAACGAUGCCGAGGAGAGACAAAGGGCUGCCCCUCGCGCGCCGCGGCUAUGACCGGAGCCUUACCAAGGGCACCAGAGUGCUCUCAGCAACGAGAGGCGCGCGCGGGCGCCCGCCAAGAAGUCGAGCACCCCCACCACGAGGGAGGAGCGCGACAACGGGCGCGAGACGUCCAGCGACGCAUCUGCGCGGAUGAAGAGCGUCCGCAGCUUUUCGCCCGCGCCAGCCAAAACGUCGCAGCCGCGGCGGUGUUGCUCCGACAGCUCCCCGAACCAGCGAUGCCCGAGGAGCGACGGGCACGCCAAGAGAUGCGCGACCUGCUCGAAUGCGCCGCCGUCCAGCAGGCGGAAAGCUCCGCGUCCCGGCGACGCGGGCAGAAUGCCAGCAGGGCGACGCCCGACGCGCCCCCGGAAAGGCGGGGGGAAUCAGUCCAUCUACCCCCUCCUGGGGCGAAUCAGGCCGCGUCCGCCCGACGGACUCCACCACCCGCGGGAGGCGAGGCUCGAUCCGUCCACCAGCGCGUCGGCCUCGUCCGCGACGCCCGCGACACCCUAAACGCGCGGAGACGCUCCCGCGCGGACAGGGAGGACGGGGUAGAUCGAGGCUACCACGUCCACCGUGGCGGGCGCUACGACAGCGGGGAAGACCGCAGCCUGAGCCCCGGUCCGGCUGGGCCCCGGGCCUUCUGUGCGCGCAUCCUGAACGCGCCUUUUCCGCCGCGCUUCAGGCAACCCAUGAGUAUAGCCAAAUACUCAGGGGAGACGAAUCCUGGAGUGUGGCUCAGCGAUUACCGGCUUGCAUGUCAAGCCGGCGGGGCGGAUGAUGACCUGUUUAUCAUCCGCAACCUACCCCUCUUCCUAGCCGACUCAACGCGAGCUUGGCUAGAACAUAUCCCUUCGGGACGAGUUCGCAACUGGAAUGACCUGAAGGAGGUUUUCAUAGGGAACUUCCAGGGCACGUACACACGCCCCGACAAUUCCUGGGACCUCCGGAGCUGUCGUCAGGGGGCGGACGAGUCCCUCCGAGAUUAUAGCCGGCGCUUCUCCAGGAAGCGCACCGAGCUCUCCAACGUCGCGGACGCCGAUGUCAUAGGAGCUUUCCUAGCAGGAACCUCCUGCCGGCCCCUCGUCCACGAGCUGGGGUGCCGAGGCCCGCGAACCACGGAGGAGCUCCUCAAUAUCGCCACUAGUUACGCCUCGGGCGAAGAGGCCGUUGGAGCAAUCUUCGACCGCUCCAAAGGCAAGGCGAAACGGGAGGAGGUUGCUGGCGAAGGCACCUCCAACCGCCAGCAGAAGAAGAAGGGCAAGUUACGGCGCGAGGCCCCCCUCGUGGCCGCAGCUGAGCGCAAGCGAGGGCCGCCGCCCCCCGAGGGCGCUCCCGGCUUCUUCGACAAGUUGCUUGAGGGACCGUGCCCGAACCACGAGUUCCCCGUGAAGCACGCCUACAAAGACUGCAACCUCAUGAAGAGAUACUUCAUGGGCAAUUCGGUGAAAGGCGACCGGAAGCGGAAGCCCGAUGAGGAAAAGAAGGGCGACGAAGAGAAGGAAGACGGCUUCCCCAAGGUGGACGGCUGCUUCAUGAUCUUCGGGGGCUCUGCGGCAUACGACACCAAGCGCCAGUAGAAGCUGGAGCGCCGGGAGGUCUACGCGGCCGAGCCAGCGACUCCGGCCUUCCUGGACUGGUCAGGGCCGGCCAUCACCUUCGACAGGACCGACCACCCUGGACGCGUCCGGCACCCGGGGCGUUACCCUCUCGUCGUCGACCCCAUCGUCGGCACGACGCGCCUCACCAAGGUGCUCAUGGACGGAGGCAGCAGCCUCAACAUCCUCUACGCCGAGACCCUCGACGCUAUGGGGAUCGACCGUUCCCGCCUCCAUCCCAGCAAGGCGCAUUUCCAUGGCGUCGUGCCAGGGAAGCAGGCGAUGCCUCUCGGGCAAAUCGACCUGCGCGUUACGUUCGGGACCCCUUCCAACUACAGGAAGGAGGUCCUCACAUUCGAGGUGGUGGGGUUCCGCGGAACCUACCACGCCAUCUUGGGACGGCCUUGCUACGCAAAGUUCAUGGCUAUCCCCAACUACACCUACCUCAAGCUCAAGCUGCCGGGGCCCAACGGGGUCAUCACCGUCGGCACGACCUUUCAGAAGGCGUACGAGUGCGACGUAGAGUGCUGCGAGUACGCCGCGGCCAUCACCGUCACGAGCGAUUCGGCAGUCCAGCUUGCGGAGGCCACCGAGGACCGGCCCGACUCCAGGCAGCCGAACAUCUCCUUCGAGCCCGCUGAAGGUAUCAAGGAGGUCCCCCUUGAUCCCGGUUGUUCCAACGGAGGAGUCGUGCGGAUCAGCGCGGCCCUAUCCCCCAAAUAGGAAAGCGCGCUCGUUGACUUCCUCCGCGCGAACAGCGACGUCUUCGCGUGGAAGCCAUCGGACAUGCCAGGCAUUCCGAGGGAAGUCGCCGAGCACUCCUUGAACAUCAGGGCCGGUUCCAAGCCAGUAAAGCAAGGAUUGCGCCGUUUCGACGAGGAAAGGCGCAAGGCCAUCGGCGAAGAGCUCCAGAAGCUUCUGGCGGCCGGGUUCAUCAAGGAAGUGCACCACCCCGAGUGGCUAGCUAAUCCUGUCCUUGUACCAAAAAAGAAUGGGAAAUGGAGGAUGUGUGUCGAUUAUAACGGUCUCAACAAAGCGUGUCCAAAGGACCCGUUUCCUUUGCCACGCAUAGAUCAAAUAGUCGACUCAACUGCCGGGUGCGAGACCCUCAGCUUCCUCGACGCAUAUUCCGGCUACCAUCAGAUCGCGAUGAAAGAGGCCGACCAGCUCGCUACCUCCUUCAUCACCCCCUUCGGUCCCUACUGCUACGUUAAGAUGCCAUUCGGCCUCAAAAACGUGGGGGCUACCUUCCAGCGAUGCAUGCUGUAGUGCUUCGGAGACCUCAUUGGGCGGACCGUUGAGGCCUACGUUGACGACAUCGUCGUAAAAUCCCGGAGGGGCGACCAGCUCGUUCCCGUCCUUGAACUAGCCUUCGAGAGGCUGAGGGAUAAGCGUAUUAAGCUCAAUCCCAAGAAAUGUGUGUUCGGAGUCCCAAGGGGCAUGCUGUUAGGCUUCAUCGUCUCCGUGCGCGUCAUCGAAGCAAACCCGGAGAAGAUAGCGGCCAUUAGAGACAUGGGGCCGAUCCGGAACAUAAAGGGAGUUCAGCGCAUCAUGGGAUGCUUGGCAGCUCUAAGCCGCUUCAUCUCGCGCCUCGGCGAGCGAGGGCUUCCUUUCUAUCGGCUCCUGAAGAAGACUGACCGUUUCGAAUGGACCAGCGAGGCCCAGGAGGCACUUGACCGACUCAAGGACCUCCUGACGAAGGCCCCGAUCCUAGUCCCGCCUACCGACGGCGAGUCCCUCCUGCUCUACGUCGCGGCGACCACCCAGGUGGUUAGCGCGGCCUUGGUGGUGGAACGAGAAGAGGAAGGACACGCUCUCAAGGUGCAACGCCCGGUGUAUUUCAUCAGCGAAGUCUUGUCCGAGUCCAAGACACGUUACCCGCAGAUCCAGAAGCUCGUCUACGCCAUCCUUAUCACAAAGAGGAAGCUGCGCCACUACUUCACCUCCCACCCGGUAACAGUCAUUUCGUCAUUCCCGUUAGGCGAAGUAAUCCGGAACCCAAAUGCUACAGGGAGAAUCGCGAAGUGGGCGCUUGAGCUCAUGGACCAGGGUAUCACCUACGUCCCCCGCACCGCCAUCAAGUCCUAGGCACUCGCCGACUUCGUGGCAGAGUGGACGGAGAUUCAAACGCCAUCGGCGCCAGAGAAGCAGGAGUAUUGGACAAUGUACUUCGACGGGUCACUGAUGAGGGCCCGCGCCGGAGCGGGUCUCGUUUUCGUCUCUCCCUUGGGCAUGCGCAUCAGGUACAUGAUCCACCUUCAUUUUCCUGCAUCUAAUAAUGUCGCCGAGUACGAAGCCCUCCUCAACGGACUCCGCAUCGCCAUCGAGCUGGGCAUCCGUCGGCUGGACAUCCGGGGCGAUUCCCAGUUGGUCGUCGAACAAGUCAUGAAGGAGUGGAGCUGCCACGACCCCAAAAUGGCAGCCUACUGCAACGAGGUCCGUAAGCUCGAAGACAAAUUCGACGAGCUAGAGCUCAACCACGUCGCAAGGCGCUUCAACGAAGCCGCCGACGAGCUGGCGAAGGCGGCAUCCGAAUGAAUGCUCGUCCCCGACGGCGUCUUCGUUAGCGACCAGUUGAAGCCCUCAAUCCGUUACCCAGAACUGCAGGGGUCGGCGAAGCACCCCCGGCCCUGGGAUCGGGACCCGAGUCAGGGGAGGUCGGCAGCGCGCCACCUGUCCGAGACCCGAGCACCAGCCCCGAGGGGGUCGACAACGCUUUGCCCAACUCGGCCCCGGGAGCCGAUCCGUCCGACCCCGGGGUCAUGGAAAUCACGGCAGAUUCCGCGGCGGGUGCCGACCCCCCGAUCGAUUGGAGAGCCCCAUACAUCGACUACCUCGUCCGCGACACGCUCCCGGCAGACAAAACGGAGGCCCGUAGGAUCGCGCGCCGCGCCAAAUCCUUCGCCAUCAUCGACCAGGAGCUCUACAAGAAAAGCCACACUGGAAUCCUCCAGCGCUGCAUCUCGAUCGAACAGGGAAAGGCGCUGAUCAAGGAUAUCCACGCCGGAGCCUGUGGUCACCACGCCGCGCCAAGGACCCUCGUUGGUAACGCCUUCCGACAAGGUUUUUACUGGCCGACCGCGGUCGCGGACGCUACCCAGGUAGUCCGCACCUGUGAAGGAUGCCAGUUCUUUGCCCGCCAGACUCACCUGCCCGCGCAGGCGUUGCAGACCAUCCCCAUCACGUGGCCAUUUGCGGUUUGGGGGCUAGAUCUCGUCGGACCCUUCAAGAAGGCACCCGGGGGCUUCACCCAUCUGCUCGUCGCCAUCGACAAGUUCUCCAAAUGGAUCGAGGCAAGACCGGUGGCGCAAAUCAGGUCCGAGCAGGUGGUCCAGUUCUUCACCGACAUCAUCCACCGCUUCGGGAUCCCGAAUUCCAUCAUCACCGACAACGGCACACAGUUCACUGGGAAGAGAUUCCUCCAGUUCUGCGACGACCACCACAUCCGAGUGGAUUGGGCGGCCGUGGCACACCCCCGCACGAACGGGAAAGUCGAGCGAGCCAAUGGCAUGAUACUCCAGGGUCUCAAGCCAUGGAUCUUCGACCGCCUUAAAAAAUUCGACGGACGGUGGGUUGCGGAGCUUCCCGCAGUCCUUUGGAGCCUGAGGACGACCCCCAGCCGGGCGACGGGCUUCACCCCGUUCUUCAUGAUCUACGGGUCAGAGGCCAUUUUGCCCACCGAUCUAGAGUACAGAUCGCCAAGGGUCAAGGCAUACGACGAACAGGGAAACCAGGCAUCAUUCGAGGACGCGCAAGAUCAACUCGAUGAAGCGCGAGACGUAGCUCUACUGCACUCGGCUAAGUACCAGCAGGCCCUACGGCGUUACCACAGCCGCAAGGUGCAAGGCUGAGCCUUCAACGUCGACGACUUGGUGCUCCGCCUCGUCCAAGACAACAGGGGUCGGCACAAGUUGACUCCCCCAUGGGAAGGCCCGUUCAUCGUCGUACAAGUUCUACGGCUGGGCACCUACAAGCUGGCAACUCCCGACGGGCAGGUUUUCAGCAACGCCUGGAACAUAGAACAGCUAAGGUGCUUUUACCCAUAGCUUUUAUUUCCAAGCCCUGCAUAAAACUUGUCUUCAAUUCCGAUAUUUCCUUUAAGCUCAGGGGUAUCCGACCCUGGCCUCGUUCCAGGGCCGCAUACCCCUCGGGGGCUACCAGUUUUGCUCCUCUGCGAAAAAAAAGAAACCCCGAGCCGUCUCGGUUCAGGCCUUUUCCUUUAAGCUCAGGGGUAUCCGACCCUAGCCUCGCUCCAGGAUCGCAUACCCCUCGGGGGCUAUCAGAGGUUCCGACCCCAGCCGCUCGGCCCUAUCUAAAAGAAACAUUUUUUCUUUUCAAACCGAACACUCCCUUUCUAGACCUUUGGGCGCAAAAAAGAGAAGGAUGCGCGAACGGUGCUCAGGCAAGUUUGAUCGGACUGCGAAAAAACCUACGCCCCAGCGGCUACGGCACCUUCGCUCAUCAAAACUUAAUGACGCACCCGACAACGCAUUCUAAACUUUCAAGCCCAAAGGAACAGCAAAGGGGAUCGGGAUCUUUCGCACAACGAAGUCAUAAACAAGCCUGUAUGGCCAUCACAAAAUAAGUUCGAAACUAACAUAAUUACAUUUUGGGCACAAGCCCGGUACAGUUAACUUGACGAGGGGUCGGCAGGAGGGAUGACCUCAUCUUCCAGGAGCUUCGCGAGGGCCUCCGCCGGCGCGGACACCGCUGCAUCAAUCCCGUCCAGCUCAGCUUCGGUGUAAUCAGCGGCGUACCCUUCACUCAUCCCGGCAAAGUUGAUGCCAGAAUAAUGGGAGCCGAAGACCCCGAAGGCUCGCCGCAUGCCGACGUGAAGCGCGUCCAUGGCGAUCUCGCGACGUCGACGGCGUACCCCAAGGACACGAGCCGGCAGAGAGCUCGACCCCUCCUCCGGAACUACGCCAAAGUCGUCACAGACGACGCGGACCGCAUCCCGCAAGGCGCCGUGCUCGCCGUGCUCCGCGUCGAGCAAACCCUUCAGCUUGGCGAUUUCGCCUGCAGGAACCACCCAGAAAAGCCCACCAAGUCAAGAACAGAACACAAAAUGUCACGGGAACGCGGGAACGGAAAAAAAAAGCCUCACCGUCGGCCCAGGCCUUCAACUCGCGCUCCCGGUCGGCUCCUUGAGACACGGCGGACUGGAGUCCCUGCACUUGCGAGCGAAGGCGACCAGUCUCCGCGCUAAGGGCUUCACGCUCCCCCCUCAGCUGUGCAAGCUCCCCGGCAUCACGACGGGCCCUCUCAGCGGCAGCUUGAAGCUCCUCGGCGUCGCGGCGGACCCUCUCAGCGACAGCUUGGAACUCCUCGUGGUCGAGGCGGGCUUUCUCGAUGACGGCUUGGAGCUUGGCCUCCGAUCACCGCGCCUCCUCCAACGCCGCCCCCUCACGCCUUUGCAGGUCCCGAAUGACCCCCUGGGCGGCAGUGACUUGCAGGGACAGGUCCCUGGUGCGCUCCCUCUCCGCGUUGAAGCGCUCCCAGAGACCCUGCUGCAGCCGAAGGAAAUCAGAUUUCCCCCGACUGCCCUCUUGGAGGGCCUGCAAAGCAACGUGCCAUUAGAAAAAAAAAAGCAAAAGGGAGGUGCUGAUCACCAACAGUAGGAGCAACAUACCUGGCUGCCAGGGAGGACGGUGUUACCCAGAACCCCCAACGCCGAAGACAGAGCCGCCUCAACGUGGGCAAGGCCGCCCUGCAUCGCCUGCCACUUGUGCCACUCAGUGGCGUCGUCCAGCGUGAAGAGAUGCCUCGGCGGGUCAUCGCGGGAUGACCAGCGAAGGACAGACCCCCUCCACGCCCUGGGAACGGAGGGAGCCGAGGCCGAGGCAGGGGCCGAUCCUGACGCUGCCGUCAAGGUCGGCACCAUUGCACUAGAAGCCGCCGAGUUUACUGACGGCCCCGGCACCUGCACGCUCGUCGCCGCCGAGGCCGCCGGCGGUAUCCCAGUGGGCCCCUCCGCCUCCGCCGCCGGAGCCACUCCCGCGGGGGUAAUUGGGGCGGAGGCCCCCGCCUCCGUCACCGUUGCCUCCGCCGCCGCGCUUUCGGGGGCAGGCGUUCCCUCCGCCACCGAUCCCGCCGCGGCUGCGGGGGCAUCCGCCCUACCUCCCGUCGCCGCCGUCUCCUCUGCCUCGUCGGCGUCGAAGUCGAUCACCUUCCCGGCCUGAGAACCCGGGGGGAUCGUGCCCUGCGCUGUAGGGGCGACUGGGGGGACCGAAGGCGGAGUAGGGUCCGCUCCCCCUCCCACGGCUGACACCGCCGUCGCUCCGCCGGCCGCCACCACAGGGGCCGCCUCCGCGGAGGGGUCCGCGGCCUCACCAGGGACCCCGCCGCUCGCCGCGGGCGGGACCGCGGUCCGCCCCCCAGAGGAGGUUGACAACCGCAACGCCUUCUUAGGCACCAGCUGCAGGGCAAGGCCACGAGGGGCGGCGCUGCAUAUCGACAAACAGACGUCAGCACAAACGAGCGUGAGAAGAGGAGAGGAACGAGGCGCAAGGAAGGCCAACUUACGUCCUUGAAGCACAAGGGCGGCGCGCGCGCUUCGACUCAGAGCCCGACGCCGACCCCGGGGCAUCUGGCAGCGGCCGCUUGUCGCCACUUCGCUGCUCUCCAGUCGCGGGCACGGCGGUGGAGGCAGUCUCUGCAGAUCUCCGAGGAGCACCCUGAGCGGACUCCUGGGGAGCGCCCCGCGCCGGCUCUGAAGUGGCGGCGGGGGCAGGCUCCGAGGACCCCCGAGGGGCGCUCCGCGCCAGCUUUGGGAAGGAGCCCCGUGUCGACCCCUGGGGGGCACCCUUCACCGACCCCUGGGGAGCGUCCCGCGCCCGCUCCUGGGAGGCACCCCGCGCCGGCCCCUGGGGGGCGUUCCGCGUCGACUCCUGGGGGGCGUCUCGUGCCGGCUCCGAAGCGGCGGCGGGGGCAGGCUCCGAAGACCCCCGAGGGGCGCUCCGUAUCGACCCCUGGGGGGCACCCCUUGCCGACCCCUGGGGAGCGUCCCGCGCUCGCUCUUGGGACACGCCCCGCGUCGGCCCCUGGGGGGCGUCCCGCGUCGUCUCCUGGGGACACGCUGUACUGGCCCCUGGGGCGCAGCCCCAGGGCCUGGUGGAGCCGAAGCCCGGGCGGGCGCCUCCUCCACUUCACCUCCCGCGGCCGUCCGCGGGGGUGCCUCACGAAUGGCGAGGGCGCCCGAUCGGAAGGAGGAAAUCAGCUCCUCCUCAUCAUCAUCUUCCUCAUCUUCAUCCUCUUCAUCAUCGUCGUCAUCAUCGUCGUCGUCGUCAUCGAACACGACCGACCCCCUCCGCCGCCGUUGGAACUCCUUAGCGGCCUUCUUCCUCUUCUUCGCCAUCUCGAUGUCCUUCCGGCGCUUCUGCGCCUCGGCGAGGAGACGGUUGUGCGUCCGCCGCUCAACAUCUUCCGGCACCGGCGGGAGCGAGUGCGCGACCCGGGUUAGCGGACCCUACAAACGCAAAGCAGCUCCACGUCAGAGUGACAAUCGCAAGACACGAAGAAAGGAGGAGGACGCCCCAACUCCUUACCAGAUCUAUGAGCCCGCAUCCGGGCGCAUCGGCGGGUGCCCGGGAAUCGGGUACUCGACGUCCUUGUCCUCCAGCGCCUCCCGAAUCCGUUGCCGGAUCUCGGAAGCGACGAGCGCACCCGUCGCCAAGGCGGUGCCCUCGGUCGGCGCGUCGGGGGUCAUGGCGGCAAGCGGUCGGAUUCAGAGCAUCAGUGGCGCCACCCGUCGGGUGUGGUACGCUCCGAUGACCCCGGCGCCGGUGAGCCCGUCCCGCUUCAGCCGCUCGAUGGCCUGCAGCAGGUCGAAGAACCGCUUCUUGUCCUUCUCCACUGGCCCGUACGCCCACACCUCCGGCGCCGCGUCGAUGGUACGGCCGGUGAAAGCCGGCAGGGGGGAGUUCGGGUAGUUCUUCACAUAGAACCACUGGUUGUGCCACCCCUUGUGGGACGCCGAGGUCUUCAUCGUCAUGUUCUCCUUGGAGCGGGUAUGACGAAGGUGGAUCCCGGCGCACCCGAUCGGCACCGGAGGUGACCGCUGCUGGCUCCCUCGCUUCUCCGUCUUCUGGUACAGGCUCACUGUGAAAAAGUAUUUCCACAGCGAGAAGUGGGGCUCAAUGCCUAGGAAUCCCUCGCACAGGGCGACGAACGCCGCAAUGUGCUGGAUCCCAUUGGGUUUGAGGUGCUGGAGCUCGAGCCCAUAGUAGUGGAGGAGCCCCCGAAAGAAGCGGCUCGAGGGAGAGGCGAACCCCCGCUCAUGGAAGUGAGCGAAGGAGACGAUGUAGCCAGAGAGAGGCUCCGGCACCUGCUCCGGGCCCGACAGCAACCACUCAGCCGCCUCCGUCUUCUCGCAGAGGAGGCCUUUUCGCACCAGGCCCUCGGCGCGCGAGGAGGUGAAAUGGGAGAUCCCCCAGGAACCCAUCGCCGGAGGAGGGAGAUCAACGGAGGUGAGAAGAAAGGGCACGGCUUGGAGCAAAGGAAACGAAGCGGGCACGGACAAACUGAACGCUAGGCUGGAGGGCGGAAAGGCUCGAAUGCAGAAGGCGGGCGGAACCGGCGCGGCGGGCUCCCGUUUUUAUAGGAAAGGUACGGGAGAAGCCAAAUCGACGCCCCGGCCGCCAUAAAUGCGGCGCCAGGUACGCCCCUGCCACGCCCGUUUCCUUUUCGAAAACCGCGCGCACGGCCGGCCGCGAAAACAUCCUAUCCUCCUCGAUUCGCGGGAUGGCGCUUCCCAUAACUCCACCUCCCGGAAGGCACGACGUCCCCCACGUUCGGCCCAGACGUCACGACCGCUCCGUUCUGGCCCAAGGCCCACCGAAAGGUAAGAAAGGGAUACGGGGCUGAAAACGCCCCUACGGCCCAUUACGGUCCAGAGGUUCGAAGGCUGGCCCACCGCGGGAUCGACAGCUGCCUCAGGAUAUCUCCCGAGCAAGGGGUGAGAAGGGACGGGUCCACUAGCGGCCAACACCCAGGCAAGCGAAAGCCAAGGGCGUCCCGACCUCACGUUCGAGUCCCGUCCGGUAUAAAGUUCAUGGUUUUUCCACGGGGAAAGGCAACGAGCCCCCGGAUUCGGCCGAACGGACCCGGGAACUAUAUGAACUGGCCGGCGGGAAAUUGUAGUACGCCACCAGCUUGGCCCGAGCCGGACCCCCCCGAACGGGGACCGGGACUCCACUCGAACCUACCUGUUCGCAGCUCAAAGCGAGCACCACGGUUCGUCCAACUAGGAUAACGUGGCACGGCUCAACCCCUCCGUCCUAGCGAACGGACGCUUGAGGGGCAACGACCAAAAGUCGACCUGGCCUCCCGACCGGUCUCCCGCAACGAGCAGGGGCUCGGGGGCUAGCAUCGCAACCAACGACCAUGCGUAUGGUCACGAUUCCCAGGCUCCCCGGCCAAACCGGGAUGAAGCAAGCGCACCAUAAACAAAAUCCACGGAGAAACGGCGAAAGAAGCCUCCGGAGGAGCACUUUUUGCUCCACCACAGGCUCGGGGGCUACUGUUGGGGGGAAAUAUUAACGAUCCCCUAAAUACCGCUUAAAGGAGCAGACGCGAAGGCCCGGGCCCACCUAAGCAUAAUCAAAACUCCGCCUCGCCCGACCGCGGCCUCAGGGUCAGGAACGCCCGACUCCCCUCCACGAGGUUUCCGCCUCGUCCGACUACGGCCCCAGGGUCGGAGGCGCCCGACCCCUCGCCACAAGGUUCCGCCUCGUCCGACCCCAAGCGCAAGGGUCGGGCUCGCUGGGGCCCCCAGGGCAGGCAUCCCCCUCGGAUGCGGACCAGGUGGGCAAGGUAAACAAAUGCUGCGGGUCCCUCCCCCGUCGGGCUCAUCAUAAAUGCGCCGCAGGCCUGGCAGAGGGAGGAAUGACCGUGCUCCUCACACAACCCGCCGCAAGUACCCAUGCACGACCAUACUCUACAAGCUACAGCGCUGGCGGCUCACUCCCAUUCGCCGCAGGGUACUCAUGGCCUGCGCCGACCGGAGCGGAGGAGAGACUCGCCUGUCCUCGGGCCCCGCGCACCCUCGGGUCCCGUGCGCCUGGCAGCUAGGAUGUGACGCCCUCUCUCCAGGAGCCAUCAUCAGAACGGCAGCAUCCACCGUCCUCCCCAACGGACACCGGGAUAACGACGAAACGCCCUCAUCAUAACCCGACGCCGACGGAUGCCGAAGGAGCUAUCUGUAGGGUGCGACGACAGUUGGCGCACGGCCGCCUCCCCCUCCGGCAUGCACGCCGGCGCUCGCCAGGAGCCGGCGGAGGCGUCGGGCGUCUAGGAACUUGUUCCUCCCAUCCUGCCGUAUUUUUUACCGUACUACGUUCACAUUUUACGGUCCUCUUCGCCCGAUCCCAACUGUAACUCUGGCCACUCCCCUUGCGAUAUAAAAGGAGGAAGACAGGGCCGGAGGGGGGAUCGGCUUCUUCCCCCUCAAGCCACAGCACGCUAGUACGCUCCCUGAGAACAUAGGCACAAAGAGACUUGGGACCAGUCCCUCUCUCGUCGGUCUGUAACCCCUACUACAGAACUCCGCGUGGGUAAUACGAGCAUUCACGAUACUGGACGUAGGGCUCCCUUUGCCCGAACCAGUCUAAUUCGUGUCUCCCACGCCACCAUCUGAGGCCUUACGCGCAUAAAAGAAAUUUACUAGUCUAAGUCUUGAUCCGCCAAUCUUGACAACGACAAAUCUAAAAAUCCAUAACUAAUUAAUUUUAAAUCAUAAAAGUUUGAAACUAUUACCCAUCAUCUUUUUCUAGAAUGUUACCUUUUAUGUUGGUUUUUUUGAGUUAUUUGCAUAUUAUUGUCCCCAUCUCUAGUGUUUUAUUGCUUGUAGUCAAACCUACUAUUUAUUUAUUGUUGUUUUGCAUUGUAUGAUUAUUGGAUGCUAUGCGAUACAAAGAUAAUUGUUCAACAACCAUAUGCAUCAUGAAGAAAUUUCCGGAUACGAUUGAUAUUAGUACAUUAUUAACUUCUUAUCAAGAAAUAUCAAUGAAGUGUUUUAUAUGAAUAUUUUUAAUGCACCUUGAGUUUUUGGAUAACCUUUUUCAUAAAAGUUAAUUAGAUGCAUUCUUAACUAAAUAAGCCAUUUGGUAAUUUUUCAAAAAUGUUUAUUUAGGUAACAGAAAAUUUAUUUAUUUAUUCUGGAAAAAGUUUUUUUUUAACGAAGUUAGCAAGGAAAGCACCUACCUAUUCUUUAAUUGUUAUUUUAGAUCCGUUUAAUUCGCUCCCACGAGAAGUUGAAUAUAGACCUGCAGGAUGUUACUCAGGUGCUCUAACCACUAGACUAGAGUCCCUUUCGCUUCUGAAAAAGGUUUUACAAAAAUCUUUUCCCUAUUAUCUUUUGUUAAGUCUGGGAUGUUGCCGCACGUGGGAAAGAAAGAACGGGAAACAUAGACCGAGACCGCUGCUGCGCCGCCACCAUGCUUCGCCGUUGGAGGGUUAGGGUUCGGGGUUUCGGGUUAUGGGUCAUCGAUGGCGCGGCUAUCUCCGAUGUGGCUGGGAUAUAUGGGAGGUUGACGGUGGCUAGGUAGCAGGCGGUGGUGGCGGGUUGUGUGCGGGAUGGCGGGACACCACCAGUUCCGAUUUGUGGAAGACAAUAGGUGGCCUCUAGAGGCAGCGGGGGAAUCUUGGUGAGCUUCCCGCGCGGGGCUGGGUUAGGGCGGCGAAGGAUGGUGGCGGUGGAUGUGGCAGCGCGAGCCGCCGGAGAUGAUGGAGGAUGGCGGCGCGGGCGCGAGCAAAGGAGGACAGUGCGAUGGUGAUCGAGGGUUGCGACCGGCGACGCCGGAUGCAGUGGCGAGAGCCGUCGGAGCUAGAGGAGGAGGGCAGCGCGGGGGCAUGGGCGUGCGCGCUCCUGGGCUGCCAUCACUGAAGGUGACAUUGGUGAUUUUUGUCACCUUCUGUGAUAUAUAGAUAUAGACAUGCUCUAGAUAGAGGACUCCUUGGAGAGACCCCGAGAAUGGAGAUGGGCAUUUGGAGCUCUUCCAAAAUAAGGAAUCUAGAGGACUUGCUAGAAUGCAUUUUUUUUGACUUGGUCCAUUGGAGUUGUUCUAAGCCAACAACUAUUAGCAUCCUUUUAGAUAACUCUGUUAAUCUGAAAUACAACAGUUUCCUACUUUAUGUAUAAUGAGUGUCAUUGCGUCACUACGUACGAGGUCUACUUUAUGGCGGAUCUGAAGGUGUGUUUGGUUGGGAUGUGGCUUUUGGAAAAGCUACUGUGAGCUGUGGGCUGUGAAAAAGUAGCGGGGAGAAAGCAGCUGUGGGAAAAGCAGAAGACCGUUUGGUUAGAGCAGCUACGAAACUGUAGGUUGUGUAAGAAAUACCUGUAAUGCCCCUAAAGGUCUGCGGGUGUGUUUACAUGCAAAUUGCUCAUAACAAAAUAAUGUGUUCACUAAUUCACAUGUAAAUGACUAUUUUAGAAAGGAAAAAAAAUAAAUUUUAUAUGUUCUUCAUCCAUAUAAGUGAUUGGUCCACAUAAAUAGAACAAUAUCCAUCAAAAGGUUUAUACAAUGAUGUCAUCUCUCAACAUUACUGUCCUCCUCUCGCACUAACCAAAGCAUCAACUAUCCUAGCAUGAAUGAUAUUCAUGGUAUCCUCAUUCUCCAUAUCGUCACUCUCAUCUCCUUGUGUUUGUCUCGUGCCACUUGUAUAUUGUACCAAGUACUCCUACAAAACCGAGUUAGUAAGGUACAUAAUAAUACACGUAUUUCUAACUUGAUGAAGGAAUCAUGUAUACCUUUAGGAGGCACGAGAAAUAUGUCUCAAAGCAUUGUCGAGAAAAUUGAAAGAAAAGAUGAUGAACAAAGGAGGGUCAAUUCUUGUUGCUCUUUGGACUAGAGGAUUGACGAUGAUCAUUGCAGUCCUAACAAUUCUCUUGUUGCAGAACAGAGUAGCAACUUCUGAGUAGCAUAUGAUUCUUACAUCUUCCAGGCGAGGUGGCUAGUGUGCUGGAUGAAGUUGAGGUCCCUUGGCAACCUGGCAAACGCCUCCGUCAUGUCUGCAGGCAAAAUUUCCAAAAAAAACAAGAAGAUUUCAACACCACCAACAAAGCAAGCAUGUAAUCACCUGAUUAAUCAAUCAGCAAACAAUUCACAACUAGCAAUCUGUAGAAAUUAGCACGCCAUUACCGUCCUGGGUGAUGAGCGGGUAGUCGGAUGCGUUGAGGUUGACGAACCAGUCCCAGCGGCGGUGAAGGCGGAGCAGCAACGCGACGGCGUGCAGCGUGGUGGUGAGCAUGGUGGGGCCCCGGUAGGUGACGAGGUUGGGCCUGCCGACGAUCCACACGUUGCCCGCGAUCGCGUACACACCCCACCUGGACAUGAGCUCUGCCAGCCGGCAGUGCUCCUCCCCUGGACCGCAGGUAGUUGUUGGCCGGGUGGUACAGUGCCGCCAGCAGCCGCAUCGUGCGGCCCACUUCCCCUGAGGAUGCCGAGAUAAGGUAUGCGAACGAGAUCGGGUACCGCGGCGCCUCGCCGGCGGCACCGUCGAAGGCGGCCAACGAUGAGAGUGUUGACGUCGGUUUUUGACACGUGUCAGGGUCGACGUCAAGAGGAGAAGAAAGUGGCUGAUGCGGUUAAACAAGAAGCUAUGGCUAGAGAAAUCAGUCAGUAAAGCUAUAGUGUUUCAGCCGAUUAGCUAAUGAGAUAGAUGAAGACUGGCCGAUUGGAAGCUAGAAAAGCUCGGCCGAUAUGGGCCUAAAUGGGCCAAGGUGGUAACAAGAUGAAGAUAGGAUUGGCCCAUAGAGGAUUGGAUGGUGUUCGACUCCGAUACAAGUUGUAUCCGUAUGUAAAUAUUUGUUGCUUUGAAUAAGAAAUAGAAUAUUGAGUCAUAGUCGGUUAGGAAACGAGUUGUAACAGGGUAUAAAUAGGUGCCCCGUGAGGCUGGCAAAAACAUCAACAAACAUCAAUACAAAUCUACUUUUUCAUGCAACUUUACUUUCAUGUCGGCGACUUUGCCAAACCCUUUUCUUUUCACGAGUUCGUGUGAGUUGGCAGGGCUGCAUCAACGUGAUCUCCGAGCAAUUUGUAAGUUCCGCGUUUCGAGUAAUAUAUAAGCUUUAACUUUGGGCGUAUCGCUGUUGUUUUGUUUAGAUUUAUUCACUAGUUAUCGAUAUUUGCUAGAAUUAUAGGUUUUAUUCUCCGGUGGAAAGAUUGUGCCUUUGCCUGUAUUUCUCUUGCACUAAACUCAGGCGAUACCUAUUAUCGGCGGAAUGUGUGGUCGCGUGUAAAGUUGAUGUUGUCAAGUAUAUGUUAUCACUGCCGAUCUUGAAGGGAAGGAUUGGAAAAUGUAUUCUGGCACUCUCAGAAUUCGAUCUCAGGUACGAAUCGGCCAAGGCCGUCAAGGGUCAGGUAAGGCUGAUUUCGUCACCCAACACUGUGGAUCAGAAAUUACUGUCGUUGAGCCGGCUCCAUGGACUCUGUACUUCGAUGGAUAUUCGUGUGGGAUUGGAUCAGGAAUCGACAUAAUUCUUAUAUCGCCUCGGGGGGCAAGUUAUGAGUUCUCUCUGCCGAUUGAGGCUUCCGCUACUAAUAAUCAAGCAGAAAAUCGGGCUGUCUUAAAGGGCAUCCAAUUAUUGAGGGAGGUCAAGGCUGACGUGGUAGAAAUAUUUGGGGAUUCCAUGAUUAUCGUGGAUCAGUUGAUUGCAAAGUGUGAGUGCAAGGAUGAUAUUCUAAGGAUUUAUUAUGAGGAAUGCCUCCGGUUGCUCAAAGAAUUCAAGACCGUAACUAUUGAACAUAUCCCUAGGGAUUACAAUGAGGAAGCCAAUAGACUUGCCCAGCACGCUUCUGGCUACUGGCCGAUUCAUGGCGCUUUCGCUCUAGAGCUGGCGGCCGACAACUGGAGGAAGGAGAUCGCCGAUUAUUUAAAGGAUCCAUCCAAGAAAGUUGAUCGGCAGAUACGCUUCCAAGCCACAAAGUAUGUGUUACUUGAAGAUGAAUUGUUUUAUCGGACGAUUGAUGGAGUGUUUCUCAAGUGCCUUAGCAUUGAGGAAGCAAAGAUUUUGAUGGGUGAGAUUCAUGAAGGUCUAUGUGGGACCCAUCAAUCGGCUUUCAAGAUGAAGUCGAUGAUUAGAAACAAUGGGUAUUACUAGCUGACAGUACUUGAAGAUUGUUUCAAAUAUUAUAAAGGCUGUCAGGAUUGUCAAAAAUUUGGCAACGUGCAACGAGCCCCGGCCUCGGCUAUGAACCCGAUAUUAAAGCUGUGGCCAUUUAGAGGCUGGGUAAUUGAUCUCAUCGGUUAGAUCUAUCUGCCGUCAAGCAAAGGGCAUAAGUUCAUAUUGGUGGCGAUUGACUACUUCACCAAGUGGGUUGAGGCGGUUCCUUUGAAUGUUGUGAUGUCGGCCAACAUGAUCGAAUUCAUGAAGGAGCACAUCAUUUAUCGAUUUGGUAUUCCUCAGACCAUCAUGAUUGAUCAGGGGUCAAUGUUUACCUCAGGGAGUUCGAGGAGUUCACUGCCAGUAUGGGAUUAAGCUGUUGAAUUCUUCUCCGUAUUACGCUCAGGCCAAUGGUGUGACGACCCCGGUUAAAUCUUUCGAGUUAAUCUUAAUACGAGCCCCAAAAUUCCUCUGUCUCAGUUUUUCCCGAGCAGGAGUGCUCCACUCCAGUUCCUGUUCCUGACCCGUGAAGACUCUAACUCACCCCGCCAGUUCCUUUUAAGUCUCAACAACAGUGUCCCUUUCAAUCUUGAACAGAGGAAAGACCGAGACUGACGGAUGGACCCGCAAUCUUUUCCCCGGAUCUCCCGAGGCAUACGCACUCGAGCGGCCUGCACCGCUUCAGAGCUCCCCCGCCGCGUGGCUCAACUUCUCCGACGCCCGCCGCUUCACCCAAUCGCCGGCCGGGACAGGAUAGAUUCUCACGCCCUCCUCCCCAAUCGCAGCGGAAGCCCCUCUGCAACCCUUUCUGCUGCGCCUCGUCUCGCUCGCGCCCUCGCCGGCCGCGCCUUGGUGCUCCGACACCGCUGUGGCAGAGCUUUGCCGCUUGCUGCAUCCAAACUACCUCGCAGCUCACGCCCGUCAUCAUCUCACUGGAUCCCCGACUGCAAGGCCCGAUGCCUUCCGACUUUUCCACCGCCUCUACACAGUCGCGCUCGCCUGCGCAGCCGCAGCCUGCCUAUCUUUUCACCGGUUGCAACCUCGCUUGUAGCGCCGUUCUCCCUGUCACACCCAUCAGAUCCGCCGCAUGACGACGCCCGCCUCCGCCAAACCUCAACUACCGGCAAAACCGCGCCUGCGCCGCCUUGUCUCCCGUGCCCAAUAGCCAAGGACCCUAUCUCCGAAAUCCUGUUCCGCCGCCCAUCGACGCCCAGUCGCCGCCAUGGCAGCGCACUCCAUCCUUUUCUUCCGGUCUUCGUGCUACUCCAACUCCCUCUCUCUUUCGCGCAGCUAUAAAAAGGAAUGCCAGAGCCCUACUGGAGAUCCCUUCACCAUCGUUGCCUCGCCGCCUUGUUCCUGAGCGCCGCCACCUAAGUUCUUGAGGAACUCUCAUCUUCGCUCAACACCCGCCCCUCCCAAUCCACCAAGCCGCCUGCUCCUCCACGCUAUGCUAGAGCUUCCUUGUUGCUCACAAGAAGCUCCGCCGCCGCCGGAGCACCGCCGGACAUAGCCGCCACCAAAGCCUUAGUGCUUAAGACCUUCCGCCCAAGUCUACUCCUUCCCGACCCCAAAGCUUCACCUAUAAACCAAAGGUAAGCUGCCGACCCCUUACCGGUUCGCCCGACCCUACCUGUUCGCCUGACCCUACCUGUUCGCCCGACCCCUCUUUCCAUCUCGCCCGACCCUGUCUGUUAGCCGGCCCUUAUCUUCUUCGCCCGAGGACUCGGCUGUACUCUUUUCCUUGACCCGAGGGUAUCUGUGUAAGAUUUCGGGGACUUCUCUGUAAUAGCUUUGAGGACCCCAAACACAUUAAGGCUUAUGGGUCAGAUCAUAAGUUCUUCCAAUUCGACCCUUGGUCUUGUUCUCUAUCCACUGAAGCUUGAACCCCCACACUCUUUCCGUAGCUUUGCUACAAGUUUCUGGGCUAAGACUUGCGAGUGUUGCUGUUGAAAUAACCGUCUAGACACUAACUCCAGCAUUGCAUUCGUGUAGAGUUUCAUCUUGCUGACGGCGUCUACGAACUACACCCGGUGCCAGAAGACGGAGCUGUAGCUGAGCUACCAGUUCCAGAAGCCGAAGUCGCACCAGCUGAAGACCCGCUUCCCUCCCCUCCACUUGAAGGCAAGUCCCGGAGCAUGAACCCCAAAGUUUCCCAAACUUGCGCAUGCCUUCUUUCUCAUGUUUGUGCAUUUACGUAUAGGAGUUGUUUGCAACCUUAGAUGCAUGGUAUAGUUCCUUGAUCGGAACACUAGUUGUUGAAUCGAGUAGUUGCUAUGCUUAAAUAGGAAGUGGUAAAAGUCGAGUGAUUUCCUGUCACUCGCGAGUUAUAGGAGUUGGUUGUUCUCCUUCUGUUACAACUAUAAGGACGAUGGAUGGGGCAAGGUUUUGGUUAACUCUUUUGCUAGUCGGCUGAUCCCCCCGUCUGUCUAUGGAAUCUGUUAAGGCCCGAUAGUGGUGGUGUUCGUGAUCAAGUGUUUGAAAGUACUAAUCUCAUACCUAGUAUGGGAUGGGGAAGCCUAGUACCUGAUUGAACUAGGGCGUGGCUUAUACCCCUGCUGUCCCUGGAACGAGGUUCCCAUGGUGCAUCAUGUGGGUGCAAGUGCGGUCACAGUACGGUAGAGGCCGGGAUUGUGGAGCAUUGCAUGCCAAGGGAAGUUGGACCUGACACGUGCCUGGGAAUUGAUGGGGACGGCUGACACAGGAAGCGACCCUUGUGGUGCGCGGAUGUCGUGAGAUUAGGUUUGCCAUGCAUGGUUAAGAAACUCGAAGGAUUCGUCUGCCUCUCACAGUUUGAGACUGCUUGAUCGCUAUGCUACACUGAUUAAUGAAAGAGUCUGAUGAUGACAUGGUCUUGAUGAGUAGCUUAUAUACAUAAAGUUGGAUCUAUGUUUGCUUAGAGUAAGAUGCCAACGUAGACUGGUUAAUGAACUUAGAAUUUGAGCUAAAACUUGAAAGCAAGGACCUAACGUAGUAGCUUUUGGCAAACAAAACCCCUCAGCCAAAGAGCCUUGCAUGUCUAGACGUGGUGGAGUAGUUUUACCACCGGUCGGUUAAGUCUUGCUGAGCGUAGCAGCUCAACCUUGUUUGUGGCUUUCUUUUCAGGUGAAGUCGCAGCUCCUGAGUUUGCUUCCGUUGGCACUUGGCCGCCCCAGCUCCCUCCGGGUUGGACGGUUGAGUGGGAUCCUUCCUCGGACGGUGAGGAGAGGGAUCAUUGAUGUCCUGAUCGGCCUCAUUAGGGACAUCCGACCCUGGCGCUAGCUUCCGCUAAUUUAGCUUUCCGCUGCUUUUGAAUCUUGUAAAACUCUGAUUUUUGUUUUUAUGUUGAACUAAAUUGUCAAACUUGUUUAACUCAGUGGAUCUGUUGUAUUCUCUGAAACCGCUCACCUUCGUGUGAGUUUCGCUAAUCCGGUCCUGUAAGUGGUUUAAUCGGAGGAAAUCCGACGGCCCUUCGAGUUAACUUGACUAAGGCAUAAGUGUCGCGUGUCAGGCGACUUAACAAUGCUUUAAUCAAGGUAAUCCGAGGUGGUUCCACCACAAAUGGUCAGGCCAAGUCAUCAAAUAAGGGGGUUAUUAAACUGAUUAAAAGGAAGGUCAAAAAACAACCAAGACGGUGGCAUACAACGCCGAAUGAGUCCUUAUGGGCUUAUCGGAUGGCUUGCCGCGGUGCCACCAAGGUGUCCCCUUAUCAGUUAGUAUAUGUGCAUGAAGCAGUAUUACCUUGGGAGUUGAAGACUGGGUCUAGACGUGUGUCACUUCAGAAUCAGUUGUCGGUUGAUGACUAUUCCGCCCUCAUGAGGGGAGAAUUGGAAGAUUUGGCGAAUCAACAGCUAAGGGCUUUGAUCAGCAUUGAGGAAAAUAAGAAAAGAGUCACCAGGUGGUAUGACAAGAAGGUCAAGGUCAAAAGGUUUUCCCAAGGGGAUUUAGUCUGGAAGUUGGUUCUGCUGAUAGUAUGGAAAAUGGUCGCCCACUUGGGAAAGGCCAUAACGGAUUAGCCAAUGUGCUCUAGGCAAUGCAUACAUACUGGAGACUUUUGAGGAAGAAGAAUUUACAAGGGCCUUGAAUGGAAGAUAUUUGAAAAGAUACUACCCUAGUAUAUGUGUAGGCGCUUAGCCGAUGAUGUGGCAUAACGGGCUUUCACGGUCGACGCGUACUGAUUCGUGUUCAUAUAGCCGAUGCAAGGGGCAUCGCCUUAAGAUUGAAAGAGGCGAAAUAGUGUAUAUAUAACUAAACCGAUCAUUAUUCGGUACACCAACUAAAUAUAUGGCCGGCAUGAUACAAGUCGCCCUUAGAUAAAAAGUACCGACACAGUUAUGGGUUACAACGAUUUAACAACGUUUCAUGUGAGCUUUAUUCAUAUCGAUUUCUUUCUGAAGUCGAUCCAAUUCGAUCUGGAGUCGGGCGUUCUUCUCCUCUAGUUCUGCCAUGUCAUCUUCAACAGCAACUUGACAGGGUAACAGAUGGCUUCUUUCGACUGAUUGCCGUGGUUGCCUUCUAGAAGCUUUAGCCUCGAUGUCAUCCACAAUCCUCUUGAUAUUCACGGGGAGGUGAUCUCUGAGUUCCUCACGAUGAGUUUGGAUCAGGUCUUUGUCAGCCUGAGUGAGCGGUUCAUCGGAGUGGAGGAUCUCAAUGGCUCGUUCAAGAUCACGGCUGAGUCGGUUUGGCUACGAGAAGAAUUGAUGAUCAAUUGACAGAGGGAUUGGUCGAGAGAUAGGAGAUUGACUUCGUACCUGAUUGACAGAGGAGGAGGAGGCCAUCUUGGUCGCUCGAUCGAAGAUUUGUAAGCGCGCGCAAGGAAUGGUUGAGUGGGUGUUUUGCGAAUGCCUUCAGAAGGGAUGCGAAGGGUUUGUACUUAUAGAACAGAAUGGCAAUGGACAAAGGUCGGUAAAAGGAGGGCAUUUAAAGAAAGCGACCGUUGAGUCAUAAAAGCUACGUGAGGACUGUUCAGACUUGCAUUUCAGACAAAAACGCCAAAAGUAUCAACGUUACACAAGAUGUUCAAAGGCUGGUUGAGUUCGUUACAACUAUCCGAGGAGAUUGUUUAUGGUCUCAAUCGCUCGCAGGCGAACUUGGUUGGCCACCUCCAACACUCGCCGAUCAUCAUCGGCUGAUCCUAAGACUUCUGGCGCAUUGCGAUGAAGAUGGAUGGCCUCGUGAGUGAGGGAUUGUCUUUCUUGUUUAAAAUCAACGAUGGCGGUUGGAAGAUCUUCAAGUUUCUUUUCUUCGGUAGCGAUAGCCUUUACGACCAGUUCCAUCUCCUUGGUGAGCUCUGCUCUGCGCCAUUUGAGUUGGUCUAUUUCACUGAUGAUGCUUGGAUGAGAAGUCUCAUGGAGACCGAUCUACCGAUGUACGUGUUGUGCACGGUGCUUGUAGGACUCUUCUUCUUGACGCACCAUCUCCAAUUUAGCACGGUCAGCCAUGUGUCGCAAGGCUCUAAACACCGGGACCCGCAUGGUUUCGAUAUAUGCUGCGGGUGUGAGAACCUCUUCUGCGUCUUCUGGGACUUGGCCUUUGAUCUCGUUGAAAAUCCACCGUAUCAGUUUGGCAUCUUCCACCAAUCGACCGAUGUUUUCCUGAAGAAGGGUUCGCAUGUUUUGGAGCUUGGCACGGACAUCUUCUGGUAUUGAGCUCAGAGUUAUUUGGCGUGAUGCAACUUCUUCGUCAUCAGAGACCGCAAUUGCAGAGGAGAAGAGGCUUUUGUUUGGCGUGUCUUACUCCUGCAGGGAUGUGGGAAAGUGUUUUAGCCGAUAAAAGUAAAAAAUCGGCUGGUAGAUAUAGAAGGUUCUUACCUCCUUCAAACAAAUCUCUUCUGCUUGGGUUGGCAGAGUCGUUACUCCCACCUCAGAAGUUUGCGGAGGUAGCUCAUUAGAGGGGGAAGACUUGACAAUGAUCGGCUCUCUAGGCGUAGCUGAUAAUGUGCUUGGACCAGCCUCCUGGAAAAGGAACAAAGGAAUCAUUUUUGAGUAUAAAAUAAUACUGGAUCUAAGUAGAAGUCUCGGUUUUCUUACCUCUCGGACGCGCGCAGCCAACGGUAGCACCAGGGGAAUGACUGACGUAUCUGGAGCGUCCUGUGUCAAGAAUCGUCUGAUUUUAGUUAUCAGAACUGUGGAGACUAAGGGAAGAGCAUGUUCUUUACCUCAAUUUGAAGAUUUGUAGGUAACACAAUUUUAGCUUGAGAAUCGGCCAAUUAAGGAACAGUCUGCUCUAGGAUAGGUUGUACGGCCUGUUGAAAAGAAACAAAUUUAGUAUUGGUGAUACAUAUGAAGAAGUCAGAGCAGAAAGAUUACUCGUGUAGCUUUCACCAAGAGUAACACAAUCGCCGACCCAGCCUCUGAUGCUGCUAGGGGAUCAAUGUCCUGAAUUGCCGACAAUACAUCUGCUUGGAUUGGUGCGGCUGAGGGCUCGACCGAUGUUGCUGCCGAUUGGUGGGUUGUUCGAGUUGUCGUAGAUUCAGUACGAGCUCAUACCCUGCGACUCGUCUUCUUUGUGGUGGAUAUUUUGAGCUUAUGCUUCAAUCGGUUGGUGGCUAUGUCCUCCAUUGAUGGGGCGUGAUAGCCGAUGAGAGGGUACGGUGUGUACGGAUGAUGGGUCUGUAUCAGUCUGCCACUCUAACUGUGCGUUGGAGGCACUUGGCUAUCAACCUGUGCAGGGUAAAAGGAUAAUGAUAAGAAAGUUCUGCAACAUGUGAAAAUUAUUGGUAAGGAAUCGACAAAAAAGUAUUGUUACCUCUGCAUUCGGAUCAGUGUGAGCGGGGUCCAGUUGAUUGCAAUACACUGCAGGGGCCGCACAGGAAAGGUACUGUUUCCACUCGGCCCACCACAAUUUGAAUUGUUGAGUGGAGAAGGGGACCACCAGCCAAGCGCUCAGAUCGAUGGUGUCGGAAUCCGGUGUCAGAUUACACAAUCUGUUGUAUUCCAGUCCUUUUGAAAUCGGUUCUCAAAAUUUCACUCGGCCGACGAAGUGAAUCCGAUUGGUAUUUGUCCCAAGCCAAAUUGCCGAGCUGCUACCGACGGGUUAUAGAACUCAUAUGUUGGAGAGUCCUUGCCAGAGAAGAAAUUUGCCGGUAGAAUCCCAGGUUGAUCAGGGUGUCCAUGAUUCCUUCAUCGAAGGUAUCGGUAGCCUAGUCAAAACAGUCAGGAUUCUAAAAAGUUGGGUUCUCUCUCUGAUAUGGAUACCAAUUCGUCACCUCUUCUUUAAAGCUGUUGUAAAAGCAUCUAAAGUGCUCGGCUAUUCUUGAGGGGGCAAGCUUGCCGCCUGGGAAAGUGGAUACGGCUUCACUAAAGGAAGUACAGCGGCGUCUGGCCAAUGGGUCGGUUUCUGAUUUAACAUUAGGAAAGUCUUGGUCUCAAUCCGCUCCUUGAAGAUUUCGCUCAUAUAUAAGUUGAGCUAGAGAUUGACAAACCACCAAGGACCACCAGGAUUCCUGAUAGGUUCUCCAGAUGAUAGCUUCACGCCGAUGUGAUGCAGCAUGUAAUACACUGACCCUAGUAGAUGCUUUCCCAAAGGGACUGUGGCUCCUCUAACUAGUGCUUCGGCCAAAGCCUGUGUGUUGGAAGUAGGACUGGCUAAUUUACCACAGAAGACAUACCUUUCCUGCCACAUCAUCAAGAAGGUCGUGUGCUCUUUUUCUGUGUUGGGUCCGGUCCUCAUGUUCUUCUCAAUGUAGCCUUUCCAUGUGCUGAUGGCUUUCGUCUCCAGCCGAUGGGUGGGUUUGAUUAAGAAAUCGAAAGGUGAGUCGGUGGAGGAAACAUCGAGGCCAGUCAGCAUCAGAACAUCGGCCAGGGUUGGAGUCAUUGGCCCAUGGUCGAAAAGAAAUGCAUUGAGAGCAUCGGACCAAAAGUAAGAUGCCGCGAUGAGCAGAGAUUCUUUCUUUUCCAUAUGAGAUAGAGAUAAAUUUCUGCAAUGGCCGAUUUUUCGCUCAUCCCAGAAGACUCUGUUGGAAUUUGACAUUCUAAAAAACCAAUCUCUCCAUCCGGGGGUUUGAUUCGGCCAAGACUUGAAAGUGUUCGCCCAAUUGUCUAGUUCCAUGGUCGAUUGCUUAAAAGGGAUCCUGUGAGUUUCUAGUUUAAUCAGAUCGGUUGGGUUAGGAUCUCCCAUAGAGCCAAGAUCGAUGAAUCCAGGGGUGUUGGCCAUGGGAUGGUGAUUCUUUGCCUGAGUUCUUGAGCAAAUGCGAAGAAAGACUAAGAACAGAUCUAAAAUCGCGAAAAGAUGAGGAGAGCCUAGAAGACUUACCUCAGGAACGAAGGUCAUGGUAGCUAUGGGUGCCACCAUUGGAGCUUGGGAGUUGGUGCGGUCGGUGAAGGACGUGAGCAAGUCACUGGAGUGCGCUGGGAUGUGCCUAGAAGUGGCACGAGCAAGGUCGCUGGGGUGUGCCGGGAGAUGAUUCGCUGGAAAGGAAACCCUUUUCGCCCGGAGGAAGAUGAAGCGGCGGAAGAGAUGAGUAUCUGCACGAUGACUCGGGAGAAGGGUAAAUAUGAAAUUUUUACCACGCCGUCUGCGCUAAUUUCGAAAGGAGCGGUUGCCUACAGGUGCUCAGUUCGAAAAAAUGCAAUCAUCAAGGAGAAGAUUUCGGGAGCAAAGAGGGUUUUGCUGCAUUUAUUGUUGCGUCUUUUCUGAAAGAAGGAAUCAGAGUUGAGAAAAUUUCGGAGAAAAAGAUAUGUUUCACUAUGAAGCUGGGAGGCAUGUGUUGAUGCCAGUUUUUAACACGUGUCAGGGUCGGUGUCAAGAGGAGAAGAAAGUGGCCAAUGCGGUUAAACAAGAGGCCAUGGCUAGAGAAAUCGGUCAGUAAAGCUAUAGUGUUCUGACCGAUUAGCUGAUGAGAUAGAUGAAGACUCACCGAUUGGAAGCCAGAACGCUGGAUUUUGACACGUACUUGAAAUCGGUGUCAAAGAAGGAGAAAGGGGGGCCGAUGCGGCGGACUAGAAGCUACAGUUGGGAAUCGGCCGAUUGAAGCUACAAUGUUUCAGCCGAUUGGCGGAAGAAAUUGGUGGAGGCUGGCCGAUUGGGAGUCAAAGCAGUUUGGCCGGUUUGGGCCUAAGGUGGGCCAGGAUGAAUAUUUGCUGAAGAGACAGGCCCGUGGGAAAAUAAUAACCAACUCGAAUACGAGUCGUGUUUGUAACUAUUUGUUGUCGUUUGAAAUUAGAGAUAGAUUCUAGUCGGUUAGGAAAUCAGUUCCAACACGCUAUAACUAGCUACCUCGAGAGGCUUGUAAAAAAAACAACACAUCAAUCAAUACAAAAAAAAUUACUCUUUCCUCGUACUUUACUUUCAAGUCGGCGACUUCGCCAAAACCUUUUUCUUUCACGAGUUCGUACGGAUUGGCAGGGCUGGAUCUACAGGAUCUCCGGCCGAUUCUGUAAGUUCCACUUAUCGAGUAAUACUAAGCUUUAACUUCGGGCGCAUCGCUGUUAUUUUGUUUAGAUUUAUUCACCAGUUAUCGAUAUCAACUAGAGUCAUAGGUUUUACCUGUUAUUUUAGUUUUUAUCACCAAUUAUCCAUCUUGAGGUACGAACUGUCGGUUUUUAUUAUUCUUAUCCUUUAUCAUCACAUAGCCGAUUAGAUCUACUCCAAGUUUUGCUUCUGUAGUGUUGUUUAGGUUGCUGUAAAAGUUUUCCUUAUGAUUGCUACAUGAGUAUCGGCUGUCUUAUAGCCGGUCAUCUCUACGGUAAAUCGGCCGAUUCGCUGAUACGCUCUUCAAGACAGAUCGGAACUCUAGCCGAUCGAAACCCCUAGAAUUUAAUAUUCUUCUUUCCAUGUCAAUCAUUAGGUCAGAUUGACUGGCAUGCCGCGCGAACCGCACUAGGGCAAUAACUCGAACAGGAGCUAAGUAGAUUCUCCUGGGUCGUGUGUCCGACGCUGAGGGUCAUCGGCCAAUUUUCAGCACCAACACACUUUUGGCAUGCCCGGUGGGACCAAACAAGAUCCAACAUGUCGAAGGCUGCUGAGAUCUUUGAAGAUAACGUCCUUGAAGUCAUUGAAGAAAAUCUCAAGGACGAUCAGAAGGAGGAACUGGCGAGGGCUAUAGAAGAAUACAGGAAGACAUGCCUGCAAUCUUUCAUUCGUACCAGAAGCGGGGAGACAGUCAAGAAAGCUCCUCUCUCCACUUCCCGCCAAAUCACCGUCAUCGAGGACUCAGGGAAGAUGUCUGAGAUGAUUCAACAGUCCGUUUAUCAGGCUAUGAUUGACCAAUCCACGGUGAUGACCAACACUGUAUACAACGCCAUCAUCAGCUCCUUGGUUAGCGGCGUAGCUCAGGGGUAUCAGGGACUAGCGUAUGCUCCUCCCAUCGUGGCACCGAUCAGAGGCUUCUUAGCAGCGCCAAACGUGUGUCACUCGACUCCUCAACUAAUGCAGAUGCAACGUGGAGGGUACUACACUUCAAUGCCCCUGGGGUACAAUGGUGCAUCAUUCUAUCAAUCGCAAGAACCGUCUCAUCCUAUGCCAAUUUCAUCCAUACAAUCGCCGCUCUCAAACUCGGCGCCAUGGGGGGUAGCAGCAGCAACCGCCGGUCUGGAUCCGUCAACCAGUUAUGGAAAGUCUCCAGUCCAGGCGUUAUUCCAAUCGGCCGAGGCCGAUAGCCCCGCAAUACCAAACAACCACUUCAGAUAUCGGCAGGAGGACAGGCGCUCUAGAAACACUCAGGGUUGCGGCGUCGAUAAUAUUGUACGAUGAAGUGACAGAUACACUAUGUCAGCAGCCAUCGGCUACUCAGCCGACAACCCAGCCACAAUAUCUGCAGAACACUCCAGUUUAUCACCCGAUCAUGGAACCGCAAAUCCAACAGCACGUACCGAUUCCUCAGCCGGUCGUGCAUCAGCAGCAGGUUGAUUGGACCGCGAAGAUAGCAGAGGUAAUUCAAGAUCAGUUUGUGUUAAAAGCAAAAGUACAAACUUACAUGUACAAGACGCCAUACCCACUUGCCUACGAUCUGUUACCGUUCCCUCAUCGGUACAAAGUCCUUGACUUCACCAAGUUCUCGGGCCUAGACGACACGUUGACUGUCGAGCACGUUAAUAGGUUCAUCAUCCAGUGCAGGGAGGCUGCUACGCAAGAUGCUUUGAUGGUGCGCUUGUUCUCGUCAUCCCUAUCCGGAUCAGCCUUGCAGUGGUUCACUACACUGCCGCCCAACGCCAUCGUUACCUUGGCCGAUUUGGAAAAGCAAUUCCAUAAGUACUUCUAUGCGGGAAUCCACGAGAUGAAACUCUCAGACCUAACUAGCCUCAAGCAAAGAAGCGAUGAGUCGAUGGCCAGCUACAUACAGAGGUUUAGGAAAGUUAGGAACAAGUGCUACACCUUGGUCUGGACUGACACCCAACUAGCCGAUAUCACCUUCCAAGGACUCCUGCCACACAUCAAAGAGAAGUACGCCUCCCAGGAGUUCGAAAGCUUGAGCCAAAUCGUCCAUCGGCUGUCCGGCCAAGAGAUACACCCUUUCGACCAACGAAGGAACUUUCAAAAGAAGGUAGCUUAUGUGGAAGGGUCUGAAUCGGGAGAGAAGGCGGAAAUCGGCCUAGCAGAGUCGGUAAAAGGAAAAAAGCCGAUAUCAUGCCCGUUUGGAAAAAAGGAACCAGAAACAUUCGGCUUUGACACGUCAAAAGCCGACAAAGUCUUCGACUUGCUGCUUCAAGAGGGGCAGAUCAAACUUUCGCCUUACCACACCAUUCCGUCGGCCAAGCAGCUCAAAAAGAUGAAAUACUGCAAAUGGCACAAUACCACAUCCCAAGACAAAAAUGAGUGCAAGAUCUUCCGACAAUAGAUACAAUUAGCCAUUGAGCAAGGAAGACUCAAGUUCGAGGUUCCAGCAAAACCAGUGAAGCCGAUGAAGAUUGAUCAACAUCCCUUCCCCGCCAACAUGGUCAAUGUAGGAAGAAACGCACUCCAAACCAAAGUUUUGAUGUUAGAAUUGGCCAGGAGAAGCGGUGCAGUGGAUCCCAAAAAUCAGGCCACGAUCGGAGAUGUCAAAGGAAAAGGACGGAUGGAAGAAGAAGGUGAAGGAUCAGAAAGGCCACGUCGGCCUGUCACUUCCCAAGACUUACUCAGCAAGUAUCAGCAGCAGCGGGAAGAUUCAAGACGCCACGAAGAGAUGAUGCGCCGACACGAAGAUCACUGGAGGUGCCCGUUUUUCAUCCACUGCUGGGAGAAUAACCUUAGAUUACCGUCGGCUGAUAAUUGCCCUGAGUGCAACGGCCAGUAUCGCAGUGGUCGUCCGUUCAAUAGAUCACGCUCCAAGGAUCGAGGGCUAGAGCCAAUCAGCAGAAAGAGGCACGAGCAAGGAGAUCGGCGCGUUUCAGUGCGUGAUCGGCUGGGGGGUAGAGUUGACCAGCAUAAUCGGCUGGGGGGCAGAACCAGCGCACAUGAUCGGCUGGGGGGUAGAACCAGCGCACAUGAUCGGCUGGAAGAGAUAGCUGACGCCAAAGUCUCAGAUGAGAACCUCCUAGGGUGAGAAUCAGGCUGGGAGCGUGCAAAGCCGCCGAGUAAACCAGUAAACCCCAGAUGGUGCCCAGCCGGUUUGACUAAGUCCUUGAAACGGAGGGUCCAGCGUUUGCACCAAUGGGAGCAGCAAGAAGAAAAACAAAGGUAGGUGAUGGAUAACAAAGGGGACAGGUCUCGAGUAUGGCGUCCUAGAAGAAAAUCCGACGCAGGAGACUAAAAUCAUGAUUCGACAGCUGACUUCAGCAUGAUGUUCAUCUUGCCGAUGGAGUUCAUGCCUCCCGCCGACCGGGACAAUGCGAUAGAGAUAGAGGAGCAAAUGGCACAAUUGGCUCUGGAGCCAAUGACCGCCACUUUUGAGAAACCCGAGGAUUAAAAACGCCAACAUCUCAAGGCCCUGUUCCUCAAAGGACAUGUCAACGGACGACCAGUCACCAAGCUGUUGGUAGAUGGAGGCGCUGCUGUGAACAUCAUGCCCUAUGCUAUGUUCCGCAAAUUGGGCAAAGGUAAAGAAGAUCUAACAAAGACGGAUAUAAUGCUCAAGGAUUUCGAAGGCAACGUAUCUCCGGCCCGAGGGGCACUCUGCGUCGACCUCACCAUCGGGAGUAAGGCCCUACCCACUAUUUUCUUUGUUAUUAAUGGCAAAGGCUCCUACAACAUGUUGCUCGAGCGAGAUUGGAUCCACGCAAACUGCUGCAUCCUGUCUACGAUGCACCAAUGCCUUGUCCAAUGUGUCGGCGACAACAUCGAAGUAGUCAUCGCCGAUUCCACCUAUAGCGUUGCCACGGCCGACGCACAACAGUGGAGCUACGAUCACGUCAAAUUCAAAUAUGGUAGGGUUUGGGACACCAAUUUCCUAAAGGUGUCCGAUUUCGGUCUACAGCCAAUCCAAGCAGUCAGCUCUAAAGAAUCAAGUUAAAAUGGAUCAGUUCAUCUGAGAAGAUGGGAAGCUCGGGCACGGGUUUACGUCGGCCGAUUCAUUGGAGAUGGUGGACCUUGGAGAUGGCAACAAGCCAAAGCCGACGUAUAUUCGUGCUAGGUUAGAACCCGAGUAUAAGCAUGAAUUAAUGAGUCUUUUACGAGAAUUUAAAGAUUGCUUUGCUUGGGAGUAUCAUGAGAUGCCUGGUCUAGACCGGUCCAUCGUCGAACACCGGUUGCCUAUAAAACCAGGGCAUUGGCCGCAUCAGCAACCUGCACGACGUUGUAAUCCUAAAAUUUUACCUGAUAUAAAGGCCGAGAUUACAAGAUUAAUUGAAGCAGGGUUUAUUCGGCAAUGUCGCUAUGCCGAGUGGAUUUCCAAUAUUGUGCCCGUAUACAAGAAAAAUGGAAAGUUACGUGUGUGCAUUGACUUCAGGAAUGUUAAUCAGGCUAUGUCGAUGGAUGGAUAUCCGAUGCCGAUGGCUGAUGUUUUAAUAGACGCCACCGCAGGACACAAAGUCAUCACCUUCAUGGAUGGUAAUGCUGGGUACAAUCAGAUAUUAAUAGUCGAAUAAGAUAUUUCAAAGACGGCUUUCAGAUGCCCAGGCCACCUCGGUUUGUUCGAGUGGGUAGUAAUGAGUUUCGGUUUAAAAAAUGCUGGAGCUACGUACCAACGGGCUAUGAAUUAUAUAUUCCACAAGCUUAUUUGUGUCCUGGUGGAGAUCUACAUUGACGAUGUCGUGGUCAAAUCAAAAGGGUAUCAGGAACACCUGGCCGAUUUGCGAAAAGUGUUGGAAUGCACAAGAAAGCAUGGGUUGAAGAUGAAUCCAAACAAAGUGUGCCUUCGGCGUUUCGGCUGGACAGUUUCUGGGAUUCAUGAUUCACGAGCGAGGCAUCGAGAUCAAGCGAAAAAUUAUAGUUGCUAUCAACAAAGUCGUGGGCCCCCAGAAUAAGACUGAGCUACAGUACUUAAUCAGCAAGGUUAACUUCAUCCGACGGUUCAUAUCUAACUUGUUCGGGCGUAUUCAAGCUUUCACCCCUUUGUUGAAAUUAAAACCCGAUCAAGAAUUUGUAUAGGGUAAGGAAUAGCAGAAAACAUUAGAUGGCAUCAAACAAUACCUAGUCUCGCCACCAGUAUUGGUUCCGCCGCAGGCCAACAAGCCAUUCAAAUUAUACCUAUUGGCUGAUGAACGAGCUAUUGGGUUGGCGCUGGUCCAGGAAUGUGAAGGAAAAUAAAGAGUAAUCUAUUAUGUCAACAGAAGACUCCUGAACGUUGAAACUAGAUAUCCUCCGGUGGAACGGCUGUGCCUUUGUCUAUAUUUUUCAUGCACCAAACUCAGGCACUAUCUGUUAUCGGCAGAGUGCAUAGUCGUUUGCAAAGAUGAUGUGGUCAAGUACAUGUUGUCAUUGCCGAUUUUGAAAGGGAGGAUUGGAAAGUGGAUUCUAGCUCUCUCAGAGUUCGACCUGAGGUACGAAUCGGCCAAAGCUGUCAAGGGGCAAGUAAUGGCCGAUUUCGUGAUCCAGCACUGUGGACCAGAAAUUACUGUCGAACCAGCUCCGUGGACACUAUACUUUGAUGGGUCUGCGUGUGGGGCCGGAUCGGGAAUCGGCAUCAUCCUCAUAUCGUCUCGAGGGGCAAGUUAUGAUUUCUCUCUGCCGUUUGAGGCGUCCGCUACUAAUAAUCAAGCGGAGUAUCGGGUUGUUCUAAAAGGUAUCCAAUUAUUAAGAGAGGUCAAAGCUGACGUGAUGGAAAUUUUUGAGGAUUCCAUGCUCAUUGUAGAUCAAUUAACUGGAAAGUCUGAAUGCAAGGAUGAUAUCUUGAGGAUUUACUACGAAGAUUGCCUCAAGUUAUUGAAGGAGUUCAAGUCUUUGAUUAUUGAGCAUAUUCCCAGGAAUUACAACGAAGAAGCCAAUAGACUUGCCCAACAUCCUUCCGGGUAUCGGCUGUGUUGACGCCAGAUUUUGACACGAGUAAAAUCGGCGUUAGAAGUGGAAGAAAUUAGGAGAUGCGGCGAGAUACAAGGGCAACGAUUGGAAAUCGGCCGAUUGGUGCUACAGUCAAGGAUCGGUUGGUUGGUGCUGCAGUCAAGGAUCGGCCAAUAGAUGCUACAGACGAGGAUCGGCCGAUUGAUCCUUAGAGUUCCGCCUCGCACGACCCCUGGUUUGGGAUCGGACACGCCCGACCCUCCAAGGGAGGAUCUCCGCCUCGCCCGACCCCUGGUUUGGGAUCGGACGCGCCCGACCCUCCAAGGGAGGAUCUCCGCCUCGCCCGACCCCUGAGGUUUGGGAUCGAACGCGCCCGACCCUCCAAAGGAGGAUCUCCGCCUCGUCCGACCUUAGUUCCCAGGGUCGAAAUGAGUCUGAGCCCUCGAUAUGUGGGUCCUGAUCGGUUACCCCCCUUGCCAAAGAGGUGAUCGGCCGAUUAGGAGGUUGGAAUAGUUGGGCCGAUGUGGGCUCAAGAAGGAUUAUGAAGAUGAAGAGGGGGUCAGCCCAUGAAGCGCGUGAAAAUAGUACGAAUCGUACUUGUAAAUAUUCGUUUUCUGUUUAAAUUUAGGGAUAGAGUUCUAGUCGGAUAAGAAGUCGUUUGUACGGGGCUAUAAAUAGCCACCGUUGUAGAUCUGUAAUCAUCAUCAACUCAAUACAACAAACUACUAUUUCCUCGUACUUACUUUCAAGCAGGCGACUUUACCAACACUUUUUCUCCUUUUUCACGAGUUCGUACGGGUUGGCGGGGCUGCAUCAACUUGACCUCCGGCCGAUCUUGUAAGUUCCGUUUAUCGACUAAAUUCUAAGCUUUAACUUCGGGCGCAUCGCUGUCAUUUCGUUUAGAUUUAUUCAUCAGUUAUCGAUAUUUACUAGAAUUCUAGGUUUUACCUGUUGUUCUAGUUUUAUCACCAAUUAUCCAGCUAGGAAUCGGUAAAUUCGGCUUUCUUUAUACUUCUCUGUCUAAUCUAUUUAUUUUAGCCGAUUAGAUCUGUUCCUAGUGUUGCUACUGUAGCGUUGUUUAGAUUACUCUAGCAGUUUUCUUUAUAAACGUUACCUGGUAAUCGGUUGCACUAUAGCCGAUUUCCUUAUUACGGCAAAUCGGCCGAUUCGCUGAUAAGCUUUCUUGAGAUCGGAACCUUAGCUGAUCGCAACCUCUGGGAACUGACACGUUUAUUUCCUUGCCAAUCAACAGUUCAGAUUGGCUGGCUCGCCGCGCGAACCGUACCAGGGCAAUCACCCGAACAGGAGUUAAGCAGAUUCUCCCGGGUCGUGUGUCCGACGCUGGGAAUUCGGUCAGCUGAUUUCUAGUGCCAACACACUUUUGGCACGCCUAGUGGGGCCAAUACAACCGCCACCAUGUCGAAAGCUGCUGAAGUCUCCGAAGAUAACAUCAUCGAAGUGACAGAGGCAGAUCUCAGGGACGACCAGAAGGAAGAACUAGAGAGGCAGACAGCAUACUACCGGAAGACAUGUCUGCAGUCCUUCAGUCGCACCAGGAGCGAGGAGACUAUCAAAAAGGCUCCGUUUCCAACUCCCCGCCAGAUCACAAUCACCGAGGAUUCGGACAAGAUGUCCGAGAUGGUCCAGCAAUCCGUCUAUCAAGCUUUCAUUGAUCAAUCCCCGGUGCUUUCUAAUACGGUAUACAAUGCCGUCAUCAGCUCCUUGGCUAGUGGUGUAUCUCAAGGGUACCAGGGGCCGGCAUAUGUUCCGCUGAUUAUGGCUCCGAGCAAUGCGGCGACAUGAAGAUCACUGGCGAUGCCCGUUCUUCAUCCACUGUUGGGAAAGCAACCUUAGGUUGCCUUCGGCCGAUAAUUGCCCCGAGUGCAACGGCCCGUAUCGUAACAAUCGGCCGUUCAGCAGGUCUCGCUCCAGAGAUGGGAGAUCAGAGCCGAUCAGCAGGAACUGGCGCGACCAAGACAACCGGCGCCCUCCAGUACGUGAUCGGCUGGGGGGCAGAAGUGACCGGUAUGACCGGUCGGAAGGCAGGCGCAAUGAUGGGCCGGGGGCAGAUUUAAUCGACGUGACCGGCCAGAAAAUAGAGUCAGCGUCCACAGACGACUUGAAUAGAUGGCCGAUGCUCGGGUGUUAGAUGAGAACCCUUUAGGACGCGAACUAGAAUGGGAACGCGCCAGGCCACGAACCAAACCGGUGAACCCCAGGUGGUGCCCCGAUGGAUUGACCAAGUCUCAAAAACGAAGAAUCCAACGUCUCCGCCAGUGGGAACAGCAGGAAGAAGAGCAACAGUACACGACGGACGAGAAGAAAGGCAGGUCUUAGGUAUGGCGCCCCAAAAGAAACGACAGAGGAGGCGACAAAUCAGCAGGCGAUGAAUCGGCAGCCGAUAUCGACAUGGUCUUCAUACUGCCGAUGGAAUUCAUGACUCCUGCCGACCAACAGGACAUGUCAGCAAUAGAAGAGUAGAUGGCGCAAUUGGCUUUGGAGCCAAUGACAGCCACAUUCGAGAAGCCCGAAGAAGACAAACGGCAACACCUGAAAGCGUUGUUUCUUAAAGGGCAUGUCAACGGCCGACCCAUCACCAGAUUACUGGUAGACAGAGGGGCUGCAGUCAACAUCAUGCCGUACGCCAUGUUCCGGAAGCUAGGGAAGAGCAAUGAUGACCUGACCAAGACAGACAUGAUGCUCAAGGACUUCGAGGGCAACGUAUCCCCCGCUCACGGCGCUCUCUGCGUCGACCUCACCAUCGGCAGUAAGACCCUUCCUACUACUUUCUUUAUUAUUAAUGGCAAGGGGUCCUACAACAUGCUACUCGGCCGAGACUGGAUACAUGCAAAUUGCUGUAUCCCAUCUACAAUGCAUCAAUGCCUCGUAUAGUGGGUCGGCGACAACAUUGAGGUGGUCACCGCCGAUUCCGCAUACAGCAUCGCGGCAGCCGACACGCAACAGUGGAGCUGCGAAACCGUCAAGUGCAUAUCCGGGAGAGUAUGGGAUACUGACUUCUUGAAGGUGUCCGAUUUUGGCCUACAGCCGAUCCGAGCAGUCGGCUCUGAGGACUCAGAUUAAAUGGAUCAGUUCACCCGAGAAGAUGGGAAGCUGGGACAUGGGUUCACGUCGGCCGAUUCAUUAGAAAUGAUAGACUUAGGCGAUGGCACCAUACCAAGGCCGACAUAUAUUAGUGCAAAUUUAGAUCCGGAAUACAAAUGUAAACUGACAAGUUUGUUAAGAGAACUUAAGGAUUGCUUUGCUUGGGAAUAUCAUGAGAUGCCCGGAUUAGACCGAUCUAUCGUUGAACAUCGGUUACCCAUAAAGCCAGGGUAUCGGCCGUAUCAACAGCCUGCACGGCGGUGCAAUCCUAAAAUCCUACCGGACAUAAAGGCCAAAAUAACGCGGCUAAUCAAAGCAAAAUUUAUUCGGCAAUGCCGUUAUGCCGAAUGGAUCUCCAACAUUGUACCAGUAUAUAAGAAGAACGGAAAGUUACGCGUAUGCGUCGAUUUCAGGAACCUCAAUCAGGCCACACCAAUGGACGGAUACCCCAUGCCGACGGCUGAUGUACUGAUAGAUGCCGCCGCGGGACACAAGGUUAUUAGUUUCAUGGAUGGAAACGCUGGGUACAAUCAGAUACUUAUGGCCGAAGAAGACAUAUCUAAAACGGCCUUCAGAUGCCCGGGUCACCUUGGUUUAUUCGAGUGGGUGGUAAUGACUUUCGGCUUGAAAAAUGUCGGCGCUACGUAUCAGAGAGUCAUGAACUACAUAUUCCACAAACUUAUCGGCAUACUAGUAGAAAUCUACAUCGACGACGUCGUAGUCAAGUCAAAAGGACACCAGGAGCAUCUGGCCGAUUUACGACAGGUGUUGGAAUGCACUAAGAAACAUGGGCUGAAGAUGAACCCGAAUAAGUGUGCCUUCGGCGUAUCCGCCGGACAAUUCUUAGGAUUCAUGGUGCACGAGCGGGGAAUAGAAAUCAAUCAGAAGACUAUAGCGGCCAUCAACAAAAUUGUGGCCCCGCAGAAUAAAACUGAGCUGCAAUCUCUAAUCGACAAGAUGAAUUUCAUCAGGAGGUUCAUAUCUAAUUUGUCUGGGCGAAUCCAAGCCUUCACACCAUUAUUAAAGUUGAAGCCCGACCAGGAGUUCGUAUGGGGGGAAGAGCAACGCAAGGCAUUGGAAGAUAUCAAGCAGUACUUGGUCUCACCACCGGUAUUGGUCCCUCCUCAAACUGGUAAGCCGUUUAAACUAUAUUUAUCAGCCGAUGAACGAGCUAUUGGGUCGGCUCUGGUCCAGGAGUUCGAGGGAAAGGAACGAGUAAUUUAUUAUGUCAGUAGAAGACUUCUGGACGCCGAAACAAGGUAUCCUCCAGUGGAGCGGUUGUGCCUAUGCCUUUACUUCUCAUGUACCAAACUCAGGCACUAUUUGCUAUCAGCGGAAUGUGUGGUCGUAUGCAAGGACGACGUGGUAAAAUACAUGCUGUCACUGCCGAUUUUGAAAGGAUGGAUCGAAAAAUGGAUCUUGGCUUUGUCGGAGUUUGACCUUCGAUAUGAAUCGGCAAAAGCCGUUAAGGGUCAGGUCAUGGCCGAUUUCGUUGCCCAGCACUGCGGGCCAGAGGCUACCUUCGUAGAACCAGUACCUUGGACCUUAUACUUUGAUGGAUCGUCAUGUGGGGCCGGAUCAGGAAUCGGCAUCGUCCUCAUAUCGCCUCGGGGGGCAAGCUAUGAUUUCUCUCUACCGAUAGAAGCAUCCACCACUAACAAUCAAGCAGAGUACUGAGCUGUACUGAAGGGAUUACAAUUGCUAAGGGAAGUCAAAGCUGAUUCCGUCGAAAUUUUUGGGGAUUCCAUGCUUAUCGUGGAUCAGUUAACAGGGAAAUCCGAGUGCAAGGACGAUGUAUUGAGGAUUUAUUACGAAGAUUGCCUCCUGCUUCUGAAAGAAUUCAAGUCGGCAGUUAUCGAGCACAUCCCAAGGAAUCACAACGAGGAUGCCAACAAGCUCGCCCAACACGCAUCUGGGUAUCGGCCGAUUCAAGGCGCCUUGGCUCUAGAGCUCGCGGCCAAUGACUGGCGAAAGGAGAUUGCCGAUUACCUGAAAGAUCCGUCUAAGAAAGUGGAUCGGCGGGUAUGUUUUCAUGCUACCAAAUAUGUGCUACUGGAAGACGACUUGUUCUACCGAACAAUUGAUGGCGUCCUACUCAAGUGUCUAGGAACGGAGGAGGCUAAGACUCUGAUGGGAGAAAUCCAUGAAGGAGUGUGUGGAGCCCACCAAUCGGCACAUAAGAUGAAAUGGAUGAUUAGGAAUAAUGGGUAUUACUGGCCGACGAUCCUCGAAGAUUGCUUCAAAUAUUAUAAAGGAUGUCAGGAUUGUCAGAAAUUCGGGAAUGUCCAACGUGCGCCCGCAUCGGCCAUGAAUCCCAUUAUCAAACCAUGGCCGUUCAGAGGUUGGGGGAUAGACCUCAUCGGCCAAAUUUAUCCUCCGUCAAGCAAAGGGCACAAGUUCAUUCUGGUGGCCACUGAUUAUUUCACCAAGUGGGUGGAGGCAAUUCCGUUAAGGGCCGUGACAUCGGCUGCUAUGGUUGACUUCGUAAGAGACCAUAUCGUCUACCGUUUCGGCAUCCCCCAGACUAUCACGACCGAUCAAGGGACAAUGUUUACAUCAGGAGAAUUCGAGGAGUUCACAGCCGACAUGGGAAUCAAAUUAUUAAACUCCUCUCCGUAUUAUGCCCAAGCUAAUGGCCAGGUCGAAUCUUCCAACAAGGGGAUAAUUAAGUUAAUCAAGAGGAAGAUAGAGGAGCAGCCGAAAAAGUGGCAUCUAUGUCUGACUGAAGCUCUAUGGGCAUACAGGAUGGCUUGCCAUGGGGCCACUAAGAUGUCCCCUUAUCAGUUGGUGUACGGUCACGAGGCAGUACUACCAUGGGAGUUGAGGGCAGGAUCGAGACGCACUUCGCUCCAGGACCAGUUAGCGGCCGACGACUACUCCUCACUCAUGAAAAGGGAACUUGAUGACUUGGCUGGCCAACGAUUGAGAGCUUUGAUAAGCAUCAAAGAAAACAAGAAGAAAGUGGCCAGGUGGUAUGAUAAGAAAGUCAAAGUCAAACAAUUCUCUCCGGGGGACCUGGUAUGGAAGUUAGUGUUGCCGAUCGGGUCGAAAGAUCCUAAAUUCGGUAAGUGGUCCCCUACGUGGGAAGAGCCGUAUAAAAUCGGCAGAUGUGCUCCAGGAAACGCUUAUAUUCUGGAAACAAUCGAAGGAGAGAAGAGUUUACUAGGGCUUUGAACGGAAGAUACUUGAAAAGGUACUACCCUAGUAUAUGGGUCGGAGCAUAAGGAUCGACCAUGAUGAACAACACACAGCCAAUACAAAAGGAUUCGUCUAGAGAAAAAAACGUAAUCGUCCAAAUCGGCCGAUGUAUUUCAUUCGGUACGGACGGUGGGUUACACGGCCGACAAGGUACAAGUUGCCCUUAGAACAAAAAAAAAUUAAUCACGCUUUUUCUUAAGCUCUCUCUCAGCCCGACCUAGUUCUAUCAGAAGACGGAUGUACUCUUCUUUUAUCUCUUUCAUCGAAGCCUCCGCUUCGACUUGACGGGGGAGAGGGUGACUCCGGUCCAUGGCCGGGCGUGAUGUUCCUACUGCUGCAUCUUCAAGGACGAUUUGAUGAGGAAGCGGAUGACUUCUGUCGGCUUGAGGUCGCCGGUGGUCGUUGCUGUCCAGAAAGUCCCAGAUCCAUCGGAUGUCGGCAGGGACGUGCUCUUGGAGUUCGUCGCGAUGAGCUCUGAUUAAAUCCUUAUCUUCUUGCGACAACGGUUCAUCGGAGUGUACAAGUCCGAUGGCUCGUUCGAGUUCGGGGCUAAGGCGCCGUGGCUGCGGAAAGCAACAAUAUACAUAUAGCUGCCGAAAAGGUGAUUCCCUUCAGAAGAGCUAAACUAAGAAAGAGAAUGAAGGCAAAUCUUUUACCUGAUUAACGGAGGAAGAGGUAGAGGAUGGAGAAGACAUGACUGAAAGGCGCACCGACGUGAACAGGUCGAGGAAGAUGAAGCCGAGUUAGAAAGGUACUCUCGGAACGGUCACCUAGGCCGGUGUUUAUAGGAAAGGAAGGCAUGGAUGUUUGGUAAGACGCGUCCCAUCGGGAGUGUGAAAGGUAAUAAAUAAGGGGGCGUCGCGAAGGACGGUCAAAGGGAUCAUUAAAUGUUCGUACAAGAACUGCCAGCACUUUUACAGGUCACCCAGAAGGGCAUCGAUAGCUGCGAUCGCUCGACGCCGGAUCUGAUCGGCAGAGUCCAGGACCCGUUGGUCAUCCUCUGCCGAUCCGGGGACUUCUAACAUAUGGCGGUGGAGUUUGAGGGCCUCGUGAGCCAGAUGCUGCCUCUCUCGUUUCAGAUCGGCAAUGACAGAAGGGAGUUCCUGAAGCCUCUUCUCUUCGGCGUCUAUUGCUUUGGUCACCUGCUCCAUCUCCUUGGCAAGCUCUGCCCUUCGGCGUUUGAGGCGAUCUAUCGUGCCGACGAUCCCCGGGCGAGAGUCUUCCAGAAAGUGAAUCCGUUGAUGCACCUCUUGAGCUUGACGCUUGUACGUGUCUUCUUCUUCACGAGUUUUGGUCAACUUGACGCGAUCGGCCAUGUGGCGCAGGGCCCUAAAGACUGGAAUCCUCAUUGACUCGAUAUAUGCAGCUGGCGCCAAGGCCUCUUCCGCUUCUUCUGGUACUCGCCCGCUGACGUCACCAAAAAGUUGUUGAAUCAGCGAAGCGUCUUCUACCAAUCGGCCGAUGUCCUCUUGAAGAAGGGAUCGGAUGCUUGCGAGUUUGGCACGGACGUCAUCAGGAACGGAGCUCAAAGUGACCUGGCGAGAGGCGACUUCCUCAUCAUCGGAGAGUGCGACCGCAAACGAGAAAAGGCUGUUGUUGGGGGUGUCCUGUUCCUGAAAAAUAGUGAGUCAAGAAGAAGAACAAAUCAGCCGAUGAUGAUAGCAAAUCGGCUGAGUAAGGGUGAGAAAUCUCUUACCUCCUUGAAACGGAUUUCUUCAAACUGCGUUUGGGAGGCUGUUAUCCUCGAUUCAGGGGCUGGUACCAUUGGUUCGUCAGAAGCUGAAGACUCCACCAUGAUUGGUGCUUUGCUCGGGCCAGCUUCCCGAAAGAUGACCAUUGGUUGGUUAGGUGGGGCGCUAAGCGUACCGGUGACCUGUGUCAAAAGAUUGAAUAAGAAUAUUAUCCAAAUACUAGAAAAAUCGGUUGAAGAGUAGUAUACCUCGGCAGACGGAAGCGUGGGCGUGUUGAUGACCGAUUGGGUUGCUGCCGAUUGUUGUGAGUCCACAGAAGUGAUUUGUGUAGUCUAAAAUAAGAUGAGUCAGUAUAGAGAUGGCAAUCGGUAGGAUCAAACAACAAGUUUACCUGCAUGGCCUCCACCAGUAAUGAUGCAGCGGCCGCCCCAGCUUGCGUGACGACUUGAGUAUCUACUUCUCCAGCAGCUGGAAGGGGCAAUGUGGCCGAAGUUUCUGCCGAUGUGAUCGUAGGAGGGUCGGCCGGUUCUGUACGAGCUCGCACUCGGCGACUGGUCUUCUUGGUAACCUUCUUCUGCGCCUGCUUCGAUCGGCCGGCAAUCACAUCCACGGAAGGGGCAUCGUAGCCGAUAAGGGGGAAGAUGGUGUAUAGGUGAUGGUCCUCUAUCGGCCGGCCACUCCGACUGUGUGUUGGGGGAACGCAGUUUUCAGACUGAAGCAACAGCAAGAUGUUAGUGUACAUAUUUAACCGCAUUAAUAAAGGAAUGAAAAUCAGUUAGGGAAAAAAAAUACCUCGGUGUUCGGAUCGAUGUUGGCUGGAUCCAGGAGGUUGCAGUAUGUCGAUGCGGAGGCACAGAAUAGGUACUGUUUUCAUUCGGCCCACCAUAGCUUGAAUGGUUGGACAACAAAGGGGGCUACUAUCCAGUCAUUCAAGUCUAUGGUACUGGAGUCUGGUAUCCGGUCUCGCAGCCGACUAUAGUCAAGACCCUUGGUGAGCUCAUCUCUGAACUUUGCUCGGCCGACGAAGUAUGCCUGAAUCGGCAGUUGACCCAUGCCGAAUUGCCGAGCUGCAACGGAGGGAUUGUAGAAUUCAUAUGUAGGGGCAUCCUUUCCUGAGAAGAAGUUGGCCGGUAAGAUCCCCGGUUUAAUUAGUUCAUCUGUGAGAUCUUCGUCGAAUCAGCCGGUGGUUGAGUCGAAGCAAGAAGGGAGUUCAAAGAUUGGGUCAUCUCUCCAAUAAGGAAACCAGACGGUUGCAUCUUCAUUGAAGCCGUUAUAAAAACACUGGAAGUAUUCGGCCACCUUGGUAGCAGAGUACGAGCAACCAGAGAAGGCCGAUGCCGCUUCGCCGAAAGACAUACACCGGCGUCGGACAGUGAGAUUCUCUGCCGAUUCGACGCUGGGGAAUGUCAUGUGUUCCACUCGCUGCUGAGAGAUCUCGCUCAUGUACAAGUUCAGCCAUAAGUUAAUGAACCACCAGGGUCCACCUGGGUUUCCAAUUGGCUACCCUUGGGAUAGCUUGAUGCCGAUUUGGUGAAGCAUGUGGUAGGCUGCUCCCAGUAAGUGCUUUCCAAGAGGAACAGAAGUCCCUAUUGAUAAUGCUUCGGCCAGAGCUUGGGUAUUGGUAGAUGGACCAGCUGCUCUCCCACAGAAGAAGUGCUUCUCUAGCCACAUCAUCAGGAAGGCCGUGUGCUCUCUGUUGUCGACAGAUCCGGCCCUUUUGUUGCAUCUGAUGAAACCUUUCCACCUGCCGAUUCCCCUUGUGUCCAGCCGAUGUGAUGUUGCGGUUAUAAGGCGGAAAGGGGUGUCCGGGGAAGAAAUAUCCAGGCCGGUCAGGAAGACUACAUCGGCCAAUGUGGGGGUCAUGGGUCCGUGUCCAAACAGGAAUGCGUUGAGAGCAUUGGACCAGAAGUAAGAAGCUGCCACCACUAAUGGCUCAUUCCGUUCCAUUUGGGACAAAGAUAGAUCGAUGCAUUGGCCAAUUUUGAGCUCGUCCCAUUGGACCUUCUUGGAAGCGGUUAUCCGCUGGUACCAUUCCCUCCAACUGGGAGUUUCGUUCGGCCAAGACCUAAAGGUACUCAACCAGUGAUCUAGGUCCAUAGUUGAUUGUUUGAAGGGGAUCCUAUGGGUUUUCCAAAUUGAUUAAGUCGGUUGGAUCUGGAUUUCCCAUGGGUCCAAGACAGAUAAGGCCGAGGUUUUCUGUGAGACGAAUGGUGAUGCGAUGCCUAACCGCCUAAAAAGGAAAAGGGGGUGCGAGGGUAAGAAAUAGAUCUAAAGUACAUGCAUUACUAAUAAGGGAAAGUUUCGGUAAUGACCUCCGGGAUGAAGCUCCUCGUAAUCGGCGGAGUCGCCGGUGCAGCUGCAGACGAUGAAGCUGCCAAUGGGAUCUCGGAUGAAGCUUCAACUUUCGCCAAUGGAGCUCCUUCUUCCGUCGAUGGAGCCGUCGUUAUCGCUACUGGAACCUCCGCCGAAGGCACCAUUUCUGGAGCUUCGCGCAUUGGUGAGGUGCCUGAAGGUGCCGCCAUUGGAAAAGUAGGAGGCAAUGCGAAAGGAAGGAGGCGCUGGAGAAUUGGUGGACUAAGGAAAGUGUUGGAGGAAGAAGAAAGCCUGUGCACUGAAGAAGAUGGACAUGAGCUCGUAAGGAGUACGGGAUGUGCUGAUAUUUAAAGAACGUCUGAGAAGGGGUAAAAGUGGAAUUUUUACCGCGCUGGCGUUUUGAGUUUUUCGGGAGUAGUGGUUGUCGUGGGCACCCGUUUCGAAAAGAUUGCAAUCAUCAGGUUGGAGACCGCGAAAUGGAAGGAUGUUUUCAUUGCGUCUGUUUCGGAUGAGAAGUUGAAAAGAAUUUUGAAGUAAAGACUAUGUUUUACUCCGAAACUGGGAGGCAUGUGUUGACGCCAGAUUUUGACACGAGUAAAAUCGGCGUUAGAAAUGGAAUAAAUUAGGAGAUGCGGCGAGAUACAAGGGCGACGAUUGGAAAUCGGCCGAUUGGUGCUACAGUCAAGGAUCGGUUGGUUGGUGCUGCAGUCAAGGAUCGGCCAAUUGAUGCUACAGAUGAGGAUCGACCGAUUGAUCCUUGGAGUUCCGCCUCGCCCAACCCCUGGUUUGGGAUCGGACGCGCCCGACCCUCCAAGGGAGGAUCUCCGCCUCGCCCGACCCCUGGUUUGGGAUCGGACGCGCCCGACCCUCCAAGGGAGGAUCUCCGCCUCGCCCGACCCCUGAGGUUUGGGAUCGGACGCGCCCGACCCUCCAAAGGAGGAUCUCCGCCUCGUCCGACCUUAGUUCCCAGGGUCGAAAUGAGUCUGAGCCCUCGAUAUGUGGGUCCUGAUCGGUUACCCCCUUGCCAAAGAGGUGAUCGGCCGAUUAGGAGGUUGGAAUAGUUGGGCCGAUGUGGGCUCAAGAAGGAUUAUGAAGAUGAAGAGGGGGUCAGCCCAUGAAGCGCGUGAAAAUAGUACGAAUCGUACUUGUAAAUAUUCGUUUUCUGUUUAAAUUUAGGGAUAGAGUUCUAGUCGGAUAAGAAGUCGUUCGUACGGGGCUAUAAAUAGCCACCGUUGUAGAUCUGUAAUCAUCAUCAACUCAAUACAACAAACUACUAUUUCCUCGUACUUACUUUCAAGCAGGCGACUUUACCAACACUUUUUCUCCUUUUUCACGAGUUCAUACGGGUUGGCGGGGCUGCAUCAACUUGACCUCCGGCCGAUCUUGUAAGUUCCGUUUAUCGACUAAAUUCUAAGCUUUAACUUCGGGCGCAUCGCUGUCGUUUCGUUUAGAUUUAUUCAUCAGUUAUCGAUAUUUACUAGAAUUCUAGGUUUUACCUGUUGUUCUAGUUUUAUCACCAAUUAUCCAGCUAGGAAUCGGUAAAUUCGGCUUUCUUUAUACUUCUCUGUCUAAUCUAUUUAUUUUAGCCGAUUAGAUCUGUUCCUAGUGUUGCUACUGUAGCGUUGUUUAGAUUACUCUAGCAGUUUUCUUUAUAAACGUUACCUGGUAAUCGGUUGCACUAUAGCCGAUUUCCUUAUUACGGCAAAUCGGCCGAUUCGCUGAUAAGCUUUCUUGAGACCGGAACCUUAGCCGAUCGCAACCUCUGGGAACUGACAUGUUUAUUUCCUUGCCAAUCAACAGGUCAGAUUGGCUGGCACGCCGCGCGAACCGCACCAGGGCAAUCACCCGAACAGGAGUUAAGCAGAUUCUCCCGGGUCGUGUGUCCGACGCUGGAAAUUCGGUCAGCUGAUUUCUAGCGCCAACAGGCUCAUUUAUGUCGCCUGACACGCGAAUAUGCACUUUAACCAAGUCAACCUGGUCGACCGUCGGAUUUCAUCCGAUGAACCACUUACACAGGAUCAAGAAGCAUCGCUCAAACGAAGGUGAGUAGCACAGAGGUUACAACAUUCCAUUAUGACAACUUAGUUCCACAAUUUAUUACAUCAGAGUUUCAGAAAUUCAAACAAGUUGCAAGGUUCGAAAAGUCGGAUAAAACAAGCGAAAACUAAACGUCGAUACAGGAUAUCAUGACGAAGUUGAUCAUGACAUCAAAAAUCCCUACCCUCACCGUCCGAGGAGGGAUCCCACUCGAUUGUCCAGCCCGGAGGGAGCUGGGUAGGCCAAGUGGUGCCAGCAACCAAACUAUUGACAUGACCUGAAAAGAUUAAGCCAUAACAAGGCUGAGCAACUAAUACUCAGCAAGACUGACCCGUCGAGUGAAAAGCUUUACCAAGACCUAGACAUGCAAGGCUUUCUGGCUCUGGGAUUACUUUGCCAAAAGCAUCUACAGUCGGUCCUUACUUUCAAUAUUUUAGCUUAAGUUCUACGUUCUUUAACCAGUCUAGAUUAGCAACUUAUACUAAACAAGCAUAAUUUCCAAGUAGUUAAAUAACAAGCAUCAACUUAAUCUCAUAAUCAUGUUUCAUCGUUACUCAGUGCAGAAUAGCGAUCAAGUAGUCCCAAACUGUGAGAGACAGAUGAAUCGAUUCGAAUUUAUUAACCAUGCAUGGCGAACCUAAUCUCACGACAUCCGCGCACCACGAAGGGUCGCUUCAUUUGUCAGCCGUCCCCAUCGAUCCCUUAGGCACGUGUCAGGGCCAAACUGCCUUUGGCGUGCAAUGCUCCACAGUCCCGACCUCUGUCGUACUGUGACCGCCACUGCACCCACAUGAUGCACCAUGGGAACGACGUUCCAAGGACAGCAGGAGUAUAAGCCACGUCCCAGUUCAGUCAGGUACUAGGCUUCCCCAUCCCAGACUAGGUAUGAGAUUAGUACUUUCAAACACUUGAUCACGAACGCUGACACGUUUCAACCUUAGAUCAAUUUCCUUUAGACAGACGGGGAAAACCACCAAGUAUCGAACAUAAGCCCGACCCCGUCCGUCAUCCUUAUAGUUGCAACAUAAAUAAACAUUCAACUCCUAUAACUCGCGAGUGAUAGGAAAUCACUCGACUUUUACUGAAACCUAAUAAGCAUUGCAACUACUCGACUUUAGCAACUAGUAUUCAAACAAGGUACUAAGUUCAUGCAUCUACGGUUUCAAUCAACUCCUACACACGUAAAUGCGCAAACAUAAACAUCAACAUGUUGCAUAAAGUAAAACAGGGAAGUCAUGCACCGGGGCUUGCCGUCAGGAAGAGUUAGCGGGUCCUCGGGGUCUUGAUCCGGCUCAGGCUCGCCUUCCAAGUGGUGAAGCUCCGCAGCGGGGUCUUCCUCCGGUGUCGGGUGGAGCUCGUAGGUUCCAUCGGCGAGAUUUGCUUCUAUACGACAUGCAUAUGCAAAAGUUUAGUUGGACUCACGCGUUUAUUCAACGACACAAGGCUUGGCUUAAGACAAGGAGUUGCAACAGCCACAUUCACUUUGACGAGGUUCAACUUUCAUGCAACUUCAAACGAAUGUGGUCGGUUUAAACUUGAGUUCGAGUUGAAUGGCGAUUGUGUACAUAUAUAGUUUUCUUACACUUAGAGUUGCAUAAAGAGAAUGAAAGGUCGUGUUUGGGUGGUUUGGGUGCAUUAGGAUAGUUACUUACUUCUGAAUGUUUUUAUGUACCUCUUUCAAUUUCCACUUAUUUAUCGUAUUAGAAUUUGUGCUUUCCUUUUAUUCCUUUAGGUUGAUUAAUUAACCAAAAUGACUUCAUAUCCAAACAGCAGCUAAAGGCACUGAUAAAAUUACAACACCUCACUUAAGCCAUAGCUGGGUUACUCUAAAAUUUUGGGGGCCAUUGGAUGACUUAAAAAGGAAUUACAUGCAUUUUAUUAUUAAAGGUAAAAUGAGCUUAACUUUUUCUAUCUUCAAAGUUACUAUGCAACAGAGGGUGAAACUUAACCAGUGUGUUAAGGGUAUGUUACAGGAUCUUUGGCGAAUUUUUCAUAAUUUUUGAAGAAGGUUAACUAUUUACUCUAUUUCCUUUUUAAUUAAACAUGCUUAGCAAGGAAGGUGUUUUUUCUUUCCGAAUUGCACAACAAUUUACAUUUUUCCUGCAAACUUCACAGCAAAACAAAAUUAACCCAACUAGUUUCACAUUUUUUUGAGCUCUGGAUCAAAACGUAUGCAAAAAGGAAGAAUUAAUCUUAGAUUCCCAAAUUAAAGUCAAAACAAUGACUUAAAGUGCUAGACCAGAGCCCUAACCAUUUUUCUGAGCUUCUACACAUAGAAACAAGCAUCACAGAGUUGGUUUUACAUUUUUCCCACUUUUCUUCUAUUUAAUAGGAUUAAAAAGGCCUAAACCAUGAUUAAAAGCAUAUGAUAUUAUUUACAACAGUAACAUGAGCAAACUUAUUUUUCUUAGGAACUAGAUAGAGCAAGGAUUCCAACAAAAGUGGUUUGGUAUUUUUAUGAUUUUUCUACGAUUUACUGGGCAUUUACAAAGUUCAACCAUAUUUCUACCUAUUAUUUAAAAGAAAAGCCGUGGCAAACUUGCAGGUUAGCCCCUGGGUCUAUGGGUUAACUACGCAGAGGUCCCUGAGUUUUGCGCCCAGGCCCCUGGAAAGAAUGGGGAUGAUGCAAUGUAGUCCCCAGGGCGCGCGCGGCGGCGGCGAGGAAAUCCCCGGCGGUUCGUCGGCGGGGAUGGGGCAACAAGUGGUCGGAGGGGUGCGGGGGCUCACCUGAGCUCGGUUUGGUGGGGUUGGGGCGACGGAGAUGGUCGGUAGGGAUCAAAACACGGCGGCGGCGACAGAGCUUGGCUGGUGGCGGUGCAGGCGUCGUUCCGGCGCACUGGCGGCGUCGGGGAGGCCACGGGCUGCUCGGAGACGUGCGCGGAGGGGGGGCGAAGUGGGCGGCGAAGUUGCCGGAGUACGGGGUGGCGCGGAGGGGUGAGCUCCACGGGAGCUUAGCGGCGGCGCUGAGAAGGAAGCAGAGGCGUGGUUGCGAGCGGUGGCAAAGGGUGGCAUUGCCGGUGAGGGGGACCCUUUUAUAGGGCAGCGGUGGAGCGGAGGGUCGAGGUGGGGCUCCGGUGGAGGAAGGAUAAGGCCGGGAGCGGUGCGUGCGCGAGCGAGGCGGCCAUUGGCCAGCGGUGCCAUUGGGCAGGGGAGGCGGAGCUCCGGGUGGUCUCUGGCCGCGAUUGGCCUCGAGCGAUGCGUGUCUGAGGCCUCCGGUCUGUCGGCGGGCGAAGCGGAGGGCCACCGCGGGGGUUGGGCGAGCGGGCGGAGGCGCGGGACGUCGUUGGCGUGGUGGCUUCUCCAGCGGGUGGGCGAAGCGCGGUUGGGCAGAGCAGAGCCGCGGCAGAGGGAAGGGCACGCGCGCGGCCGACGGUUGGCCAGCCCGGCGUUCGCCCCGUCUUGUCGCAGGCGCGGGUUGGGCGCCGUGGCUCUCACCUUAUCGUUGUCUCGCCGGGGAUAGGGCGCCGGUGAGCUGCCGGUGGCCAGCGGCCACGAGGCACGCGGUGCGCGGGCGAACAUGCCCUGGCGCGCGGGCGUUGAGGCCCCUUCGGGCAGUAAGCCCGACCAGCUUUGAGAGAUCCUAUCUCAAGAUUUUGCAACACAACUUCCAAAACUCUUCUAAACAAACUUGUUCAACUCUGGACGUAGUUCAAACUUGGUUUAAGGUGCUGGUUUAGAUUGUGAAAGGAUUUGGAGAUAUCUCAUGCCAAAGUUUGCCAAAAAUAUGGAAAUCCAGACUUAGCCAAUUUUGGCCGGAGAGGUGGAAUUUCAGGAACUUAGCUAUGUUUGAGUCAACUUUAGGGCAGCUUCCAAGUUGAAUUAGACAGAAGUGUUAAUAGAGGAGUUGCUCUCCAAACUGAGGACUUCAACUUCUAUUUAGGGUAUUUCUGGAGUUUAGUUCAGAAAUUUGGAGGAACGCCCUCGCCAAGAGGUGCACUCUGAGCAGUUUUCCAGACUUAGCGUUGUGGUGCUCAGGGGCUGAGUUGACUGCUUUGCUCAACUUUGACCAAGAUUUUGAACAGGUUCUGGUUCGAUUUGGACCUGGGUCAUUGUAACAAACUUGGAAAACACUUGAGGUAUUACAACCUUUAUUAAGAGCCUGACUUGAGUUUAGAUAUGAAAUCGUGAGAUAAAGGCUUGCAAAGUUGGAGGAAAACUUGAAUUCCACGACUUGGAGGUUUAUAGGGUUCUUUAUUAUUCCGGUUUUGAUUCCUGUUUUUGACUUCCUCCCACUCCGAAUUAGCCAAAGUGACUUUAACAAAUAUUGUUUGAAAUUAAAAGUGUUACAACUCUUAUUUGGGCAAAAUUUUAAGUUUGUAUAUAAAAUCUCAAGUUUUAUUUUAAACUCCAUAAAGAGCUUCUUAGGGUUAAAAUGGUCAUUUCACUUCCUUUACUUAGUGAUUAACCACUGGUUUAUAUUUAAAGCACUUAAUUUAGGUAGAGUUGUUACAAGUAUCCACUCACUACUUUACCAAAUGGGUGCAGGCAGUCCCUCUGAAGACCGUGACGUUGGCCGUCAUGAUUGAAUUCAUAAGCGAGCACAUUAUCUAUUGGUUUGGUAUUCCUCAGACUGUUACGACCGAUCAGAGAACAAUGUUUACUUCAGGAGAGUUUGAGGAGUUCACUUCCGAUAUGGAAAUUAAGUUGUUAAAUUCUUCUCCAUAUUACGUUCAAGCUAAUGGUCAGACCGAAUCGUCCAAUAAAGGGAUAAUCAAGUGUAUCAAGAGGAAGGUAGAGGAGCAACCAAAGAGAUGGCACAUGACUUUAAGCGAGUCUUUGUGGGCCUACAGGAUGGCCUGCCACGGCGCUACUAAGGUGUCUCCUUAUCAAUUAGUGUAUGGAUAUGAGGCGGUGCUCCCUUAGGAAUUGAGGAUGGGGUCUAGACGCACGUCGAUUCAAGAUUAGUUGACAGCCGACGAUUAUUCUCUCCUUAUGAAAGGGGAGCUUGAGGAUUUGGUGGGUCAACGAUUGAGGGCCUUGAUCAGUAUUGAAGAGAAUAAGAAAAGACUUGCCAAGUGGUAUGACAAGAAGGUCAAGGUCAAGCAGUUCUCGCAAGGGGAUUUGGUAUGGAAAUUGGUAUUGCCGAUAGGGUCUAACCAUCCCAAAUACGGCUAGUGGUCGCCUACUUGGGAAGGGUCGUAUAAAUCGAUCGAUAUGUGCCAGGAAAUGCAUACGUAUUAGAGACCAUCGAGGGAGAGGAAUUUACAAGAGCCUUAAAUGGGAGAUAUUUGAAAAGAUACUAUCCCAGCAUAUGAGUGGACGCGUAGCCGAUGAUAUAGUGUAUCGAGUCGUUAUGGCCGAUUCCUAUUGACUCGUGUUUAUAUAGCCGAUGCAGGGAGGCAUCGCCUUGAGGACGAAACCUCUAAUCAAAUUGGCCGAUUAUUAUUCGGUACGGUGAUUGGAUACAUGGCCAACAUGGUACAAGUCGCCCUUAGACCAAAAGUACCAAUACAUCUAUCGGGUUACAAUAUGAUUAACUGCAUUUCAACUGGGCUUUGUUUUUAUUGAUCUCUCUUUGGACCCGGCCUAGUUCUAUUAAGAGACGGGUGCUCUUUUCCUCCCUAUCCGCCAUGGCAUCUUUGAGAGCGACCUGGCAGGGUAGCUGAUGACUCCUCUCAAUUGGCGGCUGAGGUGGCUCCCUGGAGCUGUUGGCUUCGAUGUGAUCCACGAUCUUCUUAAUGUGGGUCGGAAGAUGGUCUUUAAGCUCCUCACGGUGGGCUUUGAUCAGGUCUUGGUCCACCUGCAUCAGUGGUUCCUCAGAGUGCAUAAUUUCGAUAACUCGCUCAAGAUCAGGGCUGAGCCGGGUCGGCUGGACAAACAGCGGGCAAUCAGUUGUCGAAAAGAAUUGGUCAAGGAGCGCAAGGCUGAUCUCAUACCUCAUUGACGGGGGAAGAAGAAGACAUCUUGGCGCCCGGUUAGGGAUCUGAAAAUGGUCGAGCAGAGUGUAGAAGGAUGGAUGAGAUACGAGUGCCUCUGGGAGGAAUGUAGGGACCCCAUAUUUAUAGGAGAAAAGGUAAGGGGCAACGGUUGGCAAAGGCAUCUAUUCAAAGCAGAUGAAUGUUGAGCUAAAAGCUGCGAAGAGGAAACGUUCAAGUCCGUAUUCACACAAUGAUGGCAAAAGGGGCAUUAAAUGUUUGUGCAGAGGUGUUCAAAAGAUAAUUCAAUGUUUUGAUACAUUCAUUCAAGAAGAAUAUUAAUGGCCGCGAUUGCCUACUGGCGGAUCUGAUCCGCUGAAUCUAGAACUCGUUGGACAUCUUCGGCUGAUCCAAGAAUUUCUAGCAUGUUGCGAUGAAGCCGGAUGGCCUCAUGCGCAAGGGUUUGCCUCUCCUGCUUCAGAUCAGCGAUGACGGUCGUGAGAUCAUGAAGAUUAUUCUUUUUGGCGGUUAUAGCCUUUGUCACCUACUCCAUCUCCUUGGCAAUCUCUGCCCUAUGCUAUUUGAGACGGUCUAUUGUGCCGACGAUGUCUGGGCGAGAAUUUUCGAGUACGCCGAUUCGGUGAUGUACCUCUUGAGCUCGGUGUUUGUAGGAAUCCUUCUCUUCACAUGGCUUUGCCAGCUUGGCAUGAACGGCCAUGUGCCGCAGGGCUCUGAACACCGGGAUUUGCAUUGACUCGAUGUAUGUAGGAGGUGCAAGAGCUUUUUCUACAUCCUUCAGGACUCGGCCUUUUAUUUCGCUGAAGAUUUGCCAAAUCGGCGAAGCGUCUUCCACCAAUCGGCCGAUGUCAUCUUGAAGAAGUGCUCGGAUUCUCUGGAGCUUUGCACGUACUUCUUCCGAAAUUGAACCUGGAGCCACUUGUCGAGAGGCUACCUCUUCAUCAUCAGAAACAGCGAUCGCAAAUGAAAAGAGGCUGUUAUUGGGCGUAUCUUGUUCCUAUAAAAGUAAGAGAGGAAGGAACGGAUUAGCCGACAGUAGUGGGAAAUCGGUCGGAUUGGAUGUCGAAGGCCCUUACCUGUUUAAAAUGAAUUUUCUUCUGUUUGUGUUUGGGGGAUUGCUACCCUUGUCUCAGGAAUCAGCAUGGUUGGCUCGUCAGAAGAAGAAGACUCGACGGUGAUCGACGUUGUGUUUGGACCGGCUUCCUGAAAGUAACAAAAGGAGAGUCUCUAUAAGUAUGAAGCAAUAGUUAGAUCUAAGGAUGAGUACCAGUUACUUUACCUCUGUGAGUCGUCCGGCCGAUGACUGUUGGAAAGGUAUGAUUGAUGUACCCAGAGUGGCCUACAUUAGAAAUCGGUCAUUUUUGACUAAGGAAUAAGAGACUUGAGUAAGAUGUAUGUUCUUUACCUCAGCUGCAAGGAUUGCUGGUGGUUCGGUCUCUGCUUGGGAUGCGACCGAUUGCUGUGAGGUUUGCUCCGAAAGAAUUUGCGCAGCCUAACAAAAAGUGGAAAUUAAUACUGAUAGUAUACUUGGAGAAAUGUGAAGCAUAUAAAGUUACCUGAACAUCUUUUACCAAUAAGGAUGCAGCUGCUGAUCCGGCUUCCGUAGCGGCUUGGGGGUCGACCUCCUGGGCGAUCGGCAGAGUUGGUGUGGCUGAAGACUCGGCUGGUGGCACCGCCGAUUGAUCGGCCGGUUCUAUACGGGCGCGCACCCGGCGGCUUGUCUUCUUUGAAGAGGAUAUCUUCAUCUUCUGCUUCAAUCGGCCUGUGAUGAUAUCUUCGAUUGACGGGGACUGAAAGCCGAUGAUUGGAAAUGAAGUAUAUGGGUGGCGAUUCUCUAUCGGCCUGCCACUACAGUUGUGCGUUGGAGAGAGUUGGCUUUCAGACGACAAGAAAUGAGGGAAAUCAGUGGUAAUACUGUAAGAGUACGGUGUCAAAUCGGCCAGAAGGAUUGGUACCUCUGCAUUCGGAUCAAUGUUAGCGGGGUCCAGAUCAUUACAAUAUGUUGUAGGAGAUGUGCAGAAGAGGUGUUGUUUCCACUCACCCCACCAUAGCUUGAAUUGUUGGACAGCGAAGGGGGCCACAACCCAGUUGGCCAAUUCGAUGGUACUGGAAUCCGGCGUCAAGCUGCACAGCUGAUUGUAUUCAAGACCUUUAGAGAGCUCCUCCCGACACUUAACGCGGCCGGCAAAAUAAAUCUUAAUCGGCAUUUGUCUGAGGCCGAAUUGCCGCGCUGCCACUGAUGGGUUGUAGAAUUCAUAGGUUGGGGAGUCUUUUCCUGAGAAGAAGUUUGCUGGUAGGAUCCCAGGCUUGAUCAAAGUAUCCAUAAGCUCAUUAUCGAAGUAAUUGAUGGUUGAAUUGAAGCAGUCGGGGUUUUCAAAGAGUGGCUCAAUUCUCUGAUAUGGGUACCAGCUUGUAGUUUCUUCAUUGAAGCCGAUAUAGAAGCAUCUGAAAUACUCAGUUGUAUUUGUGGGGGUAAACUUGCUGCCAGGAGAAGCUGACGCUACCUCGCCAAGGAAGUGCAACGCCGUCUUAAUGUUGGGUUAUCCUCUGAUUCAAUAUUGGGGAAUGUCUUGGUCUCAACUCGUUCCCUGGAGAUCUUGCUCAUGUAUAAGUUGAGCCAGAUGGUGAUAAACCACCAGGGGCCACCAGAGUUCCCAAUCGGCUCUCCGGAUGACAGCUUGACUGCGAUUUGGUGCAUCAUAUGAUGAGCCAAUCCUAGCAGGUGUUUUCCUAAGGGGAUAGUAGAACCUUUUGCUAGGGCCUCGACCAGAGCCUGUGUAUUGGAGGAGGGGCCAACUGCUUUGCCACAGAAGAAGUGCUUCUCUAACCACAUCAUCAGGAAAGCUGUGUAUUCUCUAUCGCCGAUAGGACCGGUCUUCAUAUUUUUAUCAAUAUAGCAUUUCCACCUGCCGAUUCCCUUUGUUUCCAGGCGAUGGGUUGGUUUGAUCAGGAAAUUGAAGGGCAAGUCGGGGGAAGAGAUGUCAAGACCGGUCAGCAUCAGGACGUCGGCCAAAGUAGGGGUCAUGGGCCCAUGUCCAAAAAGGAAAACAUUGAGAGCGUCAGACCAGAAAUAAGAAGCUGCCAUGACCAAAGGUUCAUUCUUCUCCAUUUGAGACAGAUAUAAGUUUAUGCAUUGGCCGAUUUUUAGUUCAUCCCAAAGAACCCUCUAAGAAUUGGACAUCCUUUGAAACCACUCUUUCCAGCCAAGGGUUUCGUUCGGCCAAGAUCUAAAUGCACCUGUCCACUGGCUUAAAUCCAUUGGUGACUGCUUGAAAGGGAUCAUGUGGGUUUCCAGGUUGAUCAAUUCAGUGGGAUCUAGAUUCCCCAUGGGGCUAAGACCGACGAGGCCGGGUGCGUCAGAAACAGGGAUGGUGAUUUGCUGCCUAAGUUCCUAAAAAGGAUACAAAAGGAGAACUAAGAACAGAUCUAAAAGAUGCGUGAAUGGUGAAAAGUAAAAGUAAAAACUUUGGGAUAUUUACCUCUGGAAUGAAAGCCAUAGUCGCCUAUGGAGCCGCUAUUGGAGUAAACAGAAUAGGAUGGACGGAAGAUGAAGGAGGAAUCACCGUAGGAAUGCAGUUGGAAGAUGAAAGGGUGCCGAAAUGCGAUGGAAGAUGAUUCGCCGGGGAAAAAAGAGUUUCCCAGCUUGUGGAGAAGAAGCGGCGGAGAAUGCAAAUAUUUAAAGAUGGUUCGAGAGAAGGGUAAAGGUGGGAUUUUACCGCGCUGUCUGCACAAAUUUCGGGAAGAGCGGUUGCCUGCGAGCGCCUAGCUCGAAAAUUGUGAUCAUCAGAGAGAAGACCGCAGAACAGAAAGGAGCUUUCGCCGUGCCCGCCUCGGAGGAUGAGUUAGAGUUGAAAAAAAUUUGAAGCAAAAAGUUUCACUCUGAAACUUGGGGGCAUGUGUUGACGCCGGAUUUUGACACGUACUUGAAAUCGGCGUCAAAGAAGGAGAAAGGGGGGCCGAUGCGGCGGACUAGAAGCUACAGUUGGGAAUCGGCCGAUUGAAGCUACAGUGUUUCAGCCGAUUGGUGGAAGAAAUCGGUGGAGGCUGGCCGAUUGAGAGCCAAAGCAGUUUGGCCGGUUUGGGCCUAAGGUGGACCAGGAUGAAGAUUUGCUGAAGAGACAGGCCCGUGGGAAAAUAAUAACCAACUCGAAUAUGAGUCGUGUUUGUAACUAUUUGUUGUCGUUUGAAAUUAGAGAUAGAUUCUAGUCGGUUAUGAAAUCAGUUGCAACAGGCAAUAAUAGCUGCCUCGAGAGGCUUGUAAAAAAAUAACACACAAUCAAUAAAACAAAUUUACUCUUUCCUCGUACUUUACUUUCAAGUCGGCGACUUCGCCAAAACCUUUUUCUUUCACGAGUUCGUACGGAUUGGCAGGGCUGCAUCUACAUGAUCUCCGACCGAUUCUGUAAGUUCCGCUUAUCGAGUAAUAUCUAAGCUUUAACUUCGGGCGCAUCGCUGUUGUUUCAUUUAGAUUUAUUCACUAGUUAUCGAUAUCAACUACAGUCAUAGGUUUUACCUGUUAUUUUAGUUUUUAUCACCAAUUAUCCAGCUUGAGGUACGAGCUAUCGGCUUCUAUUAUUUUUAUCCUUUAUCAUCACAUAGCUGAUUAGAUCUACUCCAAGUGUUGCUUUUGUAGUGUUGUUUAGGUUGCUCUAGAAGUUUUCCUUACGAUUGCUACGUGAGUAUCGGCUGUCUUAUAGCCGGUCAUCUCUAUAGUAAAUCGGCCGAUUCGCUAAUACGCUCUUCAAGACAGAUCGGAACUCUAGCCGAUCGAAACCCCUAAAAUUUAAUAUUCUUCUUUCCUUUGUCAAUCAACAGGUCAGAUUGACUGGCACGCCGCGCGAACCGCACCAGGGCAAUAACCUGAACAGGAGCUAAGCAGAUUCUCCCGGGUCGUGUGUCCGACGCUGAGGGUCAUCGGCCAAUUUUCAGGGCCAACAACAGCUUUUGGGCAAAAGCAUAUAGGACUUUUAGGGGGUGUUUGGCAUGGCUCUAGAGCUGAACUCCGGUAACUCCAGCCAAUUUUCCAGCCAAACACCCUAGCUCCAAAACUCCAUGGAGCUGCAGUGCAAAUGGGAUGGAGUUUUGGCGCACCUCUUUUGUAGCUCCAAAACCACCUAAUAUGAACCUCCUCGUGGAGUUGGUGGGUAAUUAACCAUCAAUGCCACUGAUUAAAAUAAAAAUGAUUCACUUCUAUUUUCUCUCGAGACCCCUCCCCGCGCCGCCCGAGGCCUCCUGAUGCCGCUCUCCUGCGCCGCCGCCUAGCGCCGCCGACAGCUGCUGUCGCCGUCCGUGCCCCGCGUCCUGCGGGCUACCGCCUCGCCAUCCCCAUGAGCCCCCUGCACCGCCGUCAGAGCCGCCAGCCGAGCCGCUGCGGCCGGGUUUCCGCCGUCUUGCCGCCUCUUUCCUCAACUGGAGUGAGCCAUCAGCAGCAGCAGAUUCCCCUCGGCGAGCCACGCCCGUUUCGCCGGUUCCGUUGUCACCCUGCUGCCGGAGUGCCGCCGCCACCGUGAAAACCGCCCGCCCCCCGAUCUCCACCACCACGCUGACCACCUCCGUCCAUGCCCUCCGCCGGUGAGCACACCCGUAGAUUCCCCUCGACCCCCUCUUCCUCUUGCGCCACCUGCCCAAAACACCACCUCGCCGGAGCGCCAGCAAGCUAGCUGGCCAGAGCCCCGGUGAGAGGAGGAAGAAGGAACCUGGCUCUUUUGUGAUUGGGUCCUUGAGGAAAGCUAAAAUCUUUUGCUCUGUUCCUUGCUCCCGGCGAGAGGAGGAAGAAUAGUGGGCUUCUGUGGUGGAGGGCGAGAUCGAACCAGGAGUCAGAAUGUCAAUCUACCCUCAAACUCCUCUUUUCUGGAGUUGGGAACACCCUCCCAACCAAACACCUUCAUCAGACAGCAGGUUGAAAAGAGGCACAUGAGGCUCAGCCGCUUAGGCCCACGGGCAAAAAAAAAAAACUCUUACUUUAUGGCGGAGUAGUUGCUGUUCCAGUGUGCAGGUAAAUUGUCGCAAAUGCCCUCUUGUGGUCGCGUUGCAGUAGCCGAUAAGGCGUCCAAACGUGAGGUGCACACACCUGAUCUGAUCCUCUCAGUGGAAACGGGCCAGGUCCAUGCAACCCAGGACAGGAAGGCUCUAUACCUGGGCCGAACGGUAGCCCAAGAGGCCGACAGUAAGUGAGCUCACGGGUGACGAACGGCCCAGAAGCCGCCCCAAUCCGGCCACCGCCACUGAGCCGGCUCGACUAAACCGGAUCGCCACGCAGCCCGACCGCGCAGGCGUACUUCCCGAACUACCCCCGGAGAUUAUCCAAUCGGACGGCCAAGCGCCACGCACUGCCAAAGAAUUCCCCGAAAUGACCCUACUCUUCCCUUUGCCUCCCUCGCGUGCCGCCGGUUCUGCUCGACCGGACCAGCGGUUCAGGCGCCGAAUAUUCGCCCGCGGAUAUUUCUUGCCCGGUGCGUCAACUCCGCCGCUAUAAAUACCCUCAUAGGGCGGCCGCUAGGGUUUUAGUGCUUCUCUCCCGGCGGCGCCUCCACAUAUCGUCUCUCAGAUCGGGAGGCGAAACCAAGGUGACUGACCUCAUCCCCUUUCUCCUCCCUCCGUCUCUGGUUGCUAUAGCUAUUUCAUCCAUGCGCUGUCCUUAUAGCUGAUUAGUAUUUUUACUAGUGGAGUUCGAGUCGUUUUGGUUCCAUUCAGUAGUGCUUGUGUUGAUUGGAUUGAAUCGGAGGACUCGAAGUGGUUUGUGCUGCUCGAAUCGUAAGUUUGUUGGGCUAAUCUCGAUGGAAUUUAUGUCAAUUCGUUGGUUUAGUGGUCCUUGGCAGUUCUCUCUGUGAUAGGCCCGUCCGAUCUGUAGAGAUGCGGUGGAAUCCUGGUUUACUCAAAACGGUUCUAGAUUCCUCUGUUCUUCCCUUAUUUUUUGUUUCGAUUACUUAGUUUGCACGUUAGGGGCCUAUGAAGUUUAUGUGCUCGGAUCCUUUAGUGAAACUGAUCUGUUUACUCAGAUGUGCUCGGAUCCUUCAGUGAAACUGAUCUGUUUACUCAGAUCUGCUGGUAGCUAACAGGUUCAGGGUAGUUAUGUUGAUGGUCUAGUUUUGGUAGUUUCAUUGUCGAUUUCUGUCCAUUUUUGUCAUGUUCUGUCCAUAAAAAUACUAUCUGUGCUUCUUCAUAUCUUGUAAUAUGAAUUCAUUUGACAAACUAUGCAUUUCUUUUAGAGUGUUUGUCUAAAUUAAUCUUCUGGUAUAUCCCUAUGCCAGUCUGUUAAUAUGUCUGUAUUAUAGUGUUUUGUUUGAGGUGGUAAUGUACAUGGUGCACCCUGCAGUUUUUCAUGUCUAAUAUUGAAUCUCCUUGUUUGCUGUAUGUAUUAAGGAUUAGUUUCACUUCAAAUAGCUUACUGCUGAUGCUUUCUUGUUUGUUUAAUAUGCUGUGUAAUCAUGUUGACCCUGAGGUUUGUAAGAAUUCCUCUUAUUUGAUUAUUGCAUGGAUUAGUGUCCUGAAGGAUAUGGCUCCUUUGUACAAUUAAGAUAAUUCACUUUUUUUUCUCAACUUUUAUAUGCUUACUAGCCCAUUAGGUUGUGUAAACAUUAGAGUGCUUUAGCCUGGUAAAGAUGAGUUAAGCAUUUUAAAUAAAUUUUUGGAUUUGGUUGAUAUCAUCCUUAACACCUGCAUUUAAACAAUUUGUCUCUUUUGAUCCUGACUAUUACAGUGGGUGUUACUUUCUUUAGUCAUUCUGUGGUAUCAAAGUUUCUGGUGUAGUUGUGUAAUUAUGGUUUUGGUUGGAUUCUUACUAGUAUUUUCUACCUUUAAACAGCAGGAAAUUAUAUACAUAUUUGUAGUGUGAUCUUCAUAAGAAGUCAAGAUGGUGAAGUUCACAGCGGAAGAGCUCCGUGCCAUCAUGGACAAAAAGAACAACAUUCGUAAUAUGUCCGUUAUUGCUCAUGUGGACCACGGUAUGUUAAGAACAGUGUUUAAUUAAAUGUUAUGCAUACCUGUUCCUCGACAUUUUUCAGGCUUUUCAAUUUUAGCAAUUGUUUUUUUUCAGUAUUAAAUCUCUGAAUUGUUCUUGCCAGUGAAUGCGAUUCAUGCUGCGUUAGCUAUCACAGACCUAUUUUACAUAUGUAGAAAUAUUCAUUUCAUGUUGGAAAUAGGCUUAUUGUUCUUUUGUAAUUAAUGUAUUGGUUUAUCUCUAGAUAUUGCAGUGUAUAGUAUCUGUUUACUAUGUGUUUUAUAUUGGGAUGUAUUGUUGUCUUUGUUAACUUGUGAGAGGUUGUCUAUCCCUAAUGUUGUACUAUUCUUGAUGCAUCUUCGGACUGACUUUUAAGUUCCACACUAUAGUCUUACAUCUCAUUAAUUCUUUGCAGGCAAGUCUACCCUUACAGAUUCCCUUGUGGCAGCUGCUGGGAUUAUUGCCCAGGAAGUUGCUGGUGAUGUCCGCAUGACUGAUACACGUGCAGAUGAAGCAGAGCGUGGUAUUACAAUCAAAUCCACCGGUAUUUCUCUGUACUAUGAGAUGACUGAUGAGUCACUGAAGAGUUACAAGGGUGAGAGAGAUGGUAACCAGUACUUGAUCAACCUUAUCGACUCACCUGGGCACGUUGAUUUUUCUUCGGAAGUCACAGCUGCCCUUCGUAUCACCGAUGGUGCUCUAGUGGUGGUUGACUGUAUUGAAGGUGUCUGUGUGCAAACUGAAACUGUGCUCCGCCAGGCUCUUGGUGAGAGGAUUAGGCCAGUGCUUACUGUGAACAAGAUGGACAGGUGUUUCCUUGAGCUUCAGGUUGAGGGUGAGGAAGCCUACCAGACUUUCUCCCGUGUCAUUGAGAAUGCCAAUGUCAUUAUGGCAACAUAUGAAGAUAAGCUCCUUGGUGAUGUCCAAGUCUACCCGGAGAAGGGAACUGUUGCUUUCUCUGCUGGUCUGCACGGCUGGGCCUUUACCCUCACCAACUUUGCCAAGAUGUAUGCUUCGAAGUUUGGAGUUGAUGAAACUAAGAUGAUGGAGAGGCUCUGGGGUGAGAACUUCUUUGACCCAGCCACAAAGAAGUGGACCACCAAGAACACAGGCUCUGCUACCUGCAAGAGAGGAUUUGUUCAGUUCUGCUAUGAGCCAAUCAAGCAAAUCAUCAACACCUGCAUGAAUGACCAGAAGGAUAAGUUGUGGCCCAUGCUUCAAAAGCUUAAUGUUACCAUGAAGUCUGAUGAGAAGGAAUUGGUUGGCAAGGCUUUGAUGAAGCGUGUUAUGCAAACUUGGCUUCCAGCUAGUACUGCACUGCUUGAGAUGAUGAUAUUCCACCUUCCUUCCCCAUCAAAGGCACAAAAGUAUCGUGUGGAGAACUUGUACGAGGGACCCCUUGAUGAUAUCUAUGCUACUGCUAUCAGGAACUGUGAUCCGGAGGGUCCUCUUAUGCUGUAUGUUUCUAAGAUGAUUCCAGCAUCUGACAAGGGCAGGUUCUUCGCCUUUGGUCGUGUCUUCUCUGGGAAGGUUGCUACUGGUAUGAAGGUUAGGAUCAUGGGUCCCAACUAUGUCCCUGGCCAGAAGAAGGAUCUGUACGUCAAGAGUGUCCAGCGUACUGUUAUCUGGAUGGGAAAGAAACAAGAGUCUGUUGAGGAUGUUCCUUGUGGUAACACUGUUGCUAUGGUUGGUCUGGAUCAGUUCAUCACGAAGAAUGCUACACUCACCAAUGAGAAGGAGGUUGAUGCAUGCCCAAUCAGAGCAAUGAAGUUCUCUGUCUCCCCUGUUGUGCGCGUUGCUGUUCAGUGCAAGGUUGCCUCUGACCUACCCAAGCUCGUUGAAGGUUUGAAGCGUCUGGCAAAGUCUGAUCCUAUGGUCCUCUGUACAAUUGAAGAAUCUGGUGAGCAUAUUAUUGCUGGAGCUGGUGAGCUUCACCUUGAGAUUUGCCUGAAGGAUCUGCAGGAAGACUUCAUGGGUGGUGCUGAAAUUAUUGUUUCUCCUCCUGUUGUCUCUUUCCGUGAAACUGUUCUUGAGAAAUCCUGCCGAACAGUCAUGAGCAAGUCCCCCAACAAGCACAACCGUCUUUACAUGGAAGCCCGUCCCUUGGAAGAGGGUCUCCCUGAGGCUAUUGAUGAGGGCCGCAUUGGUCCACGUGAUGAUCCCAAGGUUCGCUCCAAGAUCCUCUCUGAGGAGUUUGGUUGGGACAAGGAUCUUGCCAAGAAGAUUUGGUGCUUUGGACCUGAGACCACUGGCCCGAACAUGGUUGUUGAUAUGUGUAAGGGAGUGCAGUACCUCAAUGAAAUCAAGGAUUCUGUUGUGGCUGGCUUCCAGUGGGCCUCAAAGGAGGGUGCACUGGCUGAGGAGAACAUGCGUGGCAUCUGCUUUGAGGUCUGUGAUGUUGUUCUUCAUGCUGAUGCAAUUCACAGGGGUGGUGGCCAGGUCAUUCCAACUGCCAGGAGGGUUAUUUAUGCUUCUCAGCUCACUGCCAAGCCAAGGCUGCUCGAGCCAGUUUACCUUGUGGAGAUCCAGGCCCCAGAAAAUGCACUUGGUGGUAUCUAUGGUGUUCUGAACCAGAAGAGAGGGCACGUGUUUGAGGAGAUGCAGAGGCCUGGUAC